Molecule: long non-coding RNA, 49614 nt
Filed under: Sorghum bicolor (sorghum)
Lineage: Eukaryota; Viridiplantae; Streptophyta; Magnoliopsida; Poales; Poaceae
Description: long non-coding RNA (SBIC_LNC014092)
Source: RNAcentral
UGGUUUUAUGCCUUAAAGGUACUCAUGCUUUCAAACAAGAUCUCAUCUCUCGAUUUGGGUAAACUAUUAAGAUUUAAACAUACUCAUUUUACCUUCCACCAUGGGGCUUGCAACCGUCACUUGUGUCUUGAGCAGUUAAAAGAUAGAACGGUCUAGUCAAGCGCCAUGUCUCUUGUUCUUCGAUUAACUAUAGCUCUGGAGUUUUUGCAUAUUUUCAAAUAAAACUCAGAGAUUCCUUGUAUGACUCUCUCUAGUCUCUCUUUUGUGGUAUUUUUGGAUCCGUACCAAGGCAGUAAUGGUGUAUGCCUUCUCUCAAAGUAUGUGGUAUUUUUGGUAUGAGGCAUAGUGGCAUUGCCUUCUCUCUCACCCUACUCUAAUAAGGUUUUGAUAUCUGGAGCUCAUAGGUGGGAGACAACUAAUACAUACUUACAAGACAUUUAUUGCAUAGUCAAACCAUGGAUCCAUAAGAACAAGUCAAUAAGUCAAAUCAAGAUGUGCAUGUGUGGCGAAUGAAUGGUGAUAAUGGUGAAAAUAAUGGUGAAAGUAUAAUUCUACUUUUGCUCUUUUGAAGGGGUACCUACCUUCCUUGCACUUGAGGCUUUUGAGGGGAAUGAGAUGCUCUAUAUUUUAUUUUUCUUUUCUCUUAGGUGGGUAUCUUGUACCCCUAAUUCUACUGUCGGACACUUGUCCAUUUUUACCUCUCGUCUCACUUUUUCUUCUUUUUUUCAAGGUUUCGGGCACUGGCCCCUUUUUAUUUCCUCGUAUUCACUUUUUUUAGAGCACUCACCCUCCUGGAAUAAUGUAGCAAGUGGUAGUAACCAAAAUAUUUUGAGCAUUUAUUUCAUGGGGAAUAACAGGGAUAGGAUAAUGUUUUUGGCUAUUCUCUCCUAGAUAGGAGUAGAAUAAUUUUGGGUGAAUUUGGAUAUGGAAAUGAGUGGAUGUAUGUGGAUGUGUACUUCCGGAGUAGAAGCAGCAUGUAUGAGUGAAUGCGCAAGUUAAUCUUGAUUAUAACCGCAUGACAAGCUCCUAAGGGUCUACACAGCUUGACCACACUCAAUGCUCAUAAGCUGUAAAAAGUAAAUGUAUGGUUCAUAGUCUAAUAAGCAUGUAUAUAUGGCUGUGGUAGGAUUUUAAACUCUCAUCAUACAGGAACUCAUCAUGCAACAUUUUACAGAUUUUCAAAGAUAAAAUUCUCUAGAAUUCUAGCAUCUCUAGGAACAGAUAAACAGCAGCUCAACCUUCCCAUAUCGUAUCCGUUAACGACUUAGACUUUAGAUCAACUACUCUUACCACAAGUUCAGGUUUAGAGCAAAGCUUAAUUAAUAACAGUCAUGCCUAAACUUGAGAGAGAUUUCAAUUUUGAGAACUUGUCAUGGUAGAGCAACUAUUGAUCAUUUCCAUUUGAGAGCUUAUCAUGAGGGUUCAUAGCAAACUUUAUUUAUUUAUUUAUUUAGCAAACUAAGCAAAGAUAUAUAUAUAUAUAGGCAUAAAAUCUUUAUUUGGGUUUUUAUGAUUAUGCAUCUUUUUAUUAUUUGAGUAAAAUAUAAACGUGAGUAGAACACUUAGCUGGAUAAACGGGGGUGCUCUCCCCCAAGCUGGAUUUUGACGUAAUUUCUUCUGAUGUAGCUAGCAGGUGGUGGAUGUGUAUUUGAAUGUUGGCAACACCCUGACAGCGAUUAGGAUGUCCUCCGUCUGCUAGUCUUCUUUGAUCCUUGAAUUCUGUGGAGCUCAAAUAGACAACAAAGCUUUGUGGAACUGGUUAAAUGUUAGCAUAAAAUCUCUUAGCCGUUAUCAUGUUGAGCUUCCUCUAAUAAAUAUUACCCUCUUUGGUAGGAUCAUAAAUUUAUUUUUAUAUUUUCAUUUUUAUAGGACAGGAAUAUAUUUAUUUUAUUUUUGCCACCACAGUGAAUGUACUUAUGGGUUUUAUGCCAUGAGCAUACUCACAUGGGGCUUACUAUUUUUAACAUUUUUAUUUUCUUUUCAAGAUAGCAUGAUUAACUAGCAAGCCAUUUAAUGAAAGUAAAUAAUUUAAGGGAAAAGGGAAUGCUGAAAGGAUAAAUAUGGAUAACUACCGAUUUUACCUUUCGGCGAGGGUUCAAUGUUUUAAGUCUUCUGAACAAGACUUCUCACCAUGUUCAUUCUUUAGGUGCGUCAUUUGAUUCAGGUGUGGACCUUGAUGUCUACACCUCUUGAUACGGUGUCACCCAUGUUCUUCGUUUGCCCAGCAGUUCGAAGUGCGGCGUUGGCAGCAUUCUGCUCAGUGUGUUUGUGCUCGUAGAUCUAGGUUCUUCACUUGGUGGAAUCUGGGAGUUGUAAAACUCCUCCAUAUUUUGCUCAAAGUGUACCUGCUCAUAGAGACAAGGCAGAGAUCAAGUGCAUAGGCCCUGUUGGUGGAAAACACCAAUAGAACCAAAAGUGUAUUUGUUCUUCUCUAACCUUAAGCAUAGUGUGCAAGACAAAGUUGAUGGAUAAUAAGAUCAUGAGCGUAGCAUUUAAAGCAUUUGUCAGAUCAGAUCGCUCAACCUAAUGGAAAGAUAAUCUAUCUAUACUUAUGUUUUUUUAUAUAUCUUCCAAAGAUUGCAUGUGCAACAUUUUAGCUCAUAUUAUUAGGAGUGUGGGAUCAUAAAGGUGGAAGGACUAAACAUAUUGAAUCAAUUGGGUUGGUUAAUCUAGAGUUGUAAAUCAUAUAUGUUUGUCUGUUUUAUUCAUGUGAACGCCAGAACCAAGGAGAAGCUUAUAAAAGUGAUAGUCAAGUACCUUAAGAUGUUACCUUACUUGAAGAGUGAUGGUACGGUAUCACCUUGUGGAACCUUUCCUUUCUUAGCGGUUGUGCAUCGUGUUUGUGGCACCCUCGAUGGAUCAUCUCUUGUGAGCUAUGCCUUCCUUGUGUAAAUUGUUAACCUUCAUGUGUCUCUCUCUUUCUCUCUAAUGUGAGUUUAUCUCAGGACUUCCCAGGUCGAUAUUGAAAGUUUUCUUGUAGGGGUUAGUCCAACAAAAUAUCUCAUAUCUACUAUAGCAUACUAUCGGCUCAAAAAAUCAACCUAGACACCAUGUCUAAUUUGAUUUAGGAGGGCAUUUUAACCUAAGCACCAUGCUUAAUUUAAAAUCCCUUGGAAGCAAGAUCAUCAUUCCUAAACUAAGCACCAUGCUUAUUUAAGAGAUAAAUGAAACUACUCCAAACCUAGACAUAUACUAAAGCAAAUAAAGCUAGCAUGAGAGCAUUUAUAGAGAUCUACUCAAGUGGAGAUGAAUUAGUGUGAUUAGUAUUUAACAAAUUGAGCAUGUCUAAAAGGUAGGGACAACCAACAUAGCAACAUGGCAAAGGAUGUUUUUAUGUAAAGUACACCCCCAAGCUUGAAUUUUGCAAAAUUCAAGUUUGGAUGAAUUUAAUUCAAUGUUGUAUGAUGAUUGGUUGGACAUACCUUGUGCUUGUCAUUCAUCCGAUCUUCUUGCUCCAAUCCUAGAAAGGUUAGUGACAAGAAUGAAUACCUGAAGGAAUUUUUAUCAAUUAUCCUUAUAUGGUCAAUACACAAGGUAAUAUUGCAAAUAAUUAAAAGCUCAUGUUACGAUCUGAUCAGUUUAGGACGCUAAGCUUGUCCUUGGGAAACCAUAAAUUUAUGUCGGCGAAGUGGUUUCCCCUCUAACGCUGACCUAUAUCAAGAUCAACUUAAUGAGAUCUGCAAUAUUUAUAAUAGACAUAUGCAUCGAUAGCUGCCCUUUUAAAGUUUUUAUAAAUAGAAAGGAAGAGGGGGUUGGAGAUCUCGAAUGUGGUGGCGUUGGAGAGACCAGUAGAUUGGGAAGAUGUUGCAUAUGAGCAUGGAGUAAACGAAGUGGCUAUGAAAUAAAUUUCAUGCUCAUUAAUGUUUGGAGUGAAAUCCAUGUGGUGUGGUGAAAAUGGUAAGGUGAGUGUGGUAAAAAAGUAAAAGAAAAGGAUACACGGACGACUUGGUUCGAAACUAGCACAGCUACCGUUCCCCGGCAAGAGAGCUUGUUGGGAAUUUUAAACGCCAACAGAAAAAUCCGCAAGCGCACGGAUACCGAUGUAGCUUUCACCCGAGAGUAAUACAGAGUAUUGAUUUUCCACAGGGAACGUGAGUGUACUAAUUAAAAUUCAAGAUCGCCCAAGGAUAACUAUAUAAUUAUUUUUUCAUGGGAAGACAGGAAGUUUCCUAAGAGUUCUCUAAUUGAUCUAAGAACAAAGAAUUACUUCAAAGAUUAUUUAUUUCGAGACAUCAGAACACUAACCACAGAAAGAGAUGAGAAGGGGGCUAGGAAGUUCUCACUACGGUCCUACAAACACCGAUCCGAACGAGGUGGAAUACGUCGACCGUUAGGCUGUCACUACCCUAGGGCUACCACAACAAUCCGCAGGAUUGGGUGUAAUUCCAGGUAAAAGACUAAACACCACGUCUAAUCUAUUAAUUACUACUCUAGCGUUUUAAAGACUAGAUUACUUGAUGCAAGCGGGAAUCCAAUAAAUAACUUGAAUGCAAAUAAAAGUAAUUAAAGAACUCAGGAAUUAUGAAUUGAAGAACUUGGAGAACGAUGAAGAACGAACCAGUUGCUGCAAAAGUACAAUGUCGAGGAAGAUCCGACAGAUCCGACUCCUCCUCCGCUCUCCUCUUCUCUCUCCCUAUUUUUUAGAUUACAACUAGAACUAACUAGAACUAGAACUAGAUGAACUAGAACUAGAACUAGAUGAACCAGAUGGAUCCUCUCUACUUGGAUGAAUAAUUGAAACCCUAGCUUUGAUUCCGUAGAAGAGGUAUGUUCUCUAGGGGCCAGGGGGCCUGCUUAUAUAGCCCUUCCAAAUGAACAUGGGCCGUUGGAUCAAACCGACCUUAAUUGCACGGUUAUUUUUGAAGAUUAGAGGCGGUGGAGCACGAUACGUGAGACCUGCCCUGAUUGGUCACGAGGGCAGGGCGAGCGCCCAGCCCCCGGGCCCGCUCGGCCUCCCGUUCGUUCCUGUGGCUUCUGGAGUCUUCUAGAUGAUAGAAAAUUGGCGCACAUGUUAAUAUCUCUAUGUAAACCCGACGUGUGGGCCUUUUCUCCAUGUUUCCUAAUAACCCCCUGUAGAAAUAGACAAACACCAAAACUCGUGGAAUUCUGUUAGAUGAAACCCUAAUUUUGGAUGUUGGUUGCAUAUAGGUCCUUUUCCAUGAUUAGUUGACGGUUAAAUGUGAGCAUUAAGGACCGUCAACACAAACUCCUUGUUGUUAGAAGAGAACAAGGAAAAGGUUGUCGUAUCAUGUGAUGUGGGCACACCAUGUGACUUAAUUAAGGAAUCACCCAACCCACCUAUUGUUGUUGCCACUAACUCCUGUUGUAGGUCUUCAUCCACCACCGCCAACUCUACCUCUACUUCUAGUGAUGGUAUCACAUGUGAUGCUUCACUAAAGGUUGAGAAUGAGACUCUCAGGAGAGAGGUGGAUGAGCUCACUCACGCCCUAGGCAAAGCCUAUGGUGGUGAGGCCCACUUGCUAAAGUGCUUGGGUAGCCAAAGGUUUUCUCUCAACAAAUAGGGAUUAGGCUAUAACCCCAAGAAAGGCAAGGCGGCCUUUGUAACUCACAAGCCUAGCUUUGUGAAGUGCAAUGGUCGGUUUUGCAACAAAUGCAAGCAAGUUGGGCACCUAGAGCUUAAUUGCGAUAAAAUGAACAAGAACAAGAAAAAUGCUAAUGUAUCUUACAUUCCAUUUGAUUCUUGUUAUGUGCUUACCAAGGGUGAGAAGGGUGUGCAUGCUAAGUUUGUUGGUACACCAAUUGUGGGUCCAAAGAAGAAGGCCAUUUGGGUACCAAAGAGCUUAGUCACUAAUCUCCAAGGACCCAAACAAUUAUGGGUACCUAAGAAACAUUGAUUUGUUUUGUAGGUAAACUAUAAAGCUGGAGGAAGGCAUUGGGUGCUUGAUAGUGGGUGCACACAACACAUGACCAGUGAUUCAAGAAUGUUCAAUGCAAUCAAUCCAAAUGAUGACAAUGGUGUUGAUAGUAUCACAUUUGGUGACAAUGGCAAAGGCAAGGUCAAAGGGCUUGGUAAAAUUGCUAUAUCUAAUGACUUGAGCAUUUCCAAUGUGCUAAUAGUAUAGAGCUUGAACUUCAACUUGCUAUCCGUAGCUCAACUUUGUGAUCUUGGUUUCAAAUACAUAUUUUGAGUUGAUGAUGUAGAGAUCAUAAGUGUAGAUGGCUCCAACUUGAUAUUCAAAGGCUUUAGAUAUGAGAAUCUAUACUUGGAUGAUUUCAAUGCUAGUGAAGCUCAAUUAUCAACAUGCUUGCUCACUAAAUCAAGCAUGGGUUGGUUAUGGCAUAGAAGGCUUGGUCAUGUUGGAAUAAAACAAUAAAACAAGUUAGUCAAGCAUUAUCUUGUUAGAGGCUCGAAAGAUGUUACAUUUGAGAAAGACAAGCUUUGUAGUGCAUGUCAAGCCAGAAAGCAAGUUGGCAACACUCAUCCAAAGAAGAGCAUCAUGAGUACAUGCAAGGCAUUUGAGUUGUUGCACAUGGACUUAUUUGGACCAACCACAUACACAAGCAUUUGUGGAAAAAAAUAUGGAUUUGUGAUAGUGGAUGAUUUCACAAGAUACACAUGCGUAUUCUUUUUUAGUGACAAGAGUGAUGCUUUUGCAACCAUCAAAUCAUUUGUCAAAAGAAUUGUUGAUGCAAAAGUGGAUCUGCAAACACAAAAGGCUAAUACCCAAUUCAACUUAAGGCGUGCCAGCCGAUUUGACCUUACAACCGACAAAGGUGAUAACUCGAAUACUUUGGUCCCAACAACAGCGAUAUGCCCGGAUGCCACAGCCAAGAGGUAUUCACGCGGAACUUGAGAACUCGCCGAGGUUAACUCAAUGAAUUCCUAAGAACUCGUAAGGAAAAUGAAAAUAUGCAAGUUGACGAAGUCGUCGAAAAAGUAGAUGCUGGAAUAGAUUUAAAACUUGUGUUUGAUUGAUUGUGAUUGUCUUCUUACAUCGCUACUAGGUCUAUAUUUAUACCAUGUCCCAAAGAGCUACAACCAGGUACGACUAGAAUUCUAUUUCCAAAUUAAACAGAAUCCGUAUACAAACAAACUCUAAUAACUAUGAAAAUCAUUAGUUUAUCCAUCCUAGGUAAUCGGCACGCUACCACUGUUUCCUCGACAGUUCCUAUACCCUUCUCCACCAUCAUCGGCACCUCAUCCUCCAUCGGCAUCGGCAACUGUUAACAUCAGCCAUCGUUAUAGAUCAAUCAUUAUUCCUAGACUCGGUCAUAUUCUGCUGCUCUAUCAUCGGCAUCAUAACCCAUUGGUAACUCCUCCGUCAACCAGUCAUUACUUUUUCACCUCCCGAUCCAAGUUCCACUAUCUGUCCGGAUACAUGUAAAAAACGGUAUCAACACAUGCCCCACAAUUUCGGAGUAUAAAAUCAUUAAUGCUCUAAAAUUCUCUUCAGUAAUGAUGUCUUUCCACAAUUACUCCCCUCUGACAGCAAUUAAUUACCAAAUCCAAACAACCUUAGCUCGGAUCUCUAGCAUGCACCUCGAAUCCCUCAACUUCUCGACCGAAUCUCCUAAACACACGUUCAUCGGCAACUUUUCCGUUAGAGAGGAUUGCUGAUGAGCUGACCAGGAGAUCCUGCACAGUAAAAUAUCUCCCAAAAUCAUGACCGCUUGCUGUCAAAUCACCUGCACAAUCCCUUGAUUACCGUACGAACAGCUACCAUAUCCACCUGAACACCCUCGAGUUUUAUGGAUACGGCAAAGAGAUAAGUCAGAAAUGCCCCUGCUCACUUUAUCCUAUAAAUACUUCCUUCCUCAGCACUCCUUCUUCACCUUGUCAUCCUGCAUCCUCCAAACUCACCUCUCUGGCGGCAGCAUCGUUGAAGAGCCCAAGAACUUCAACAAAAUCUUCCCCAACGGUUCCUGAAGCUUCCGAUCUCCUUCGUCGGGAAGAAAUGGCCGUCAACUUCAUCGUCCCUGAGGUUAAUCUAUUCCCAUAUUUCUUCUCUCUGCUGUAUUUUAACUUUUUUGCAAGUCUAUUUACUUAGCAUUUUCUUUAUUUCUUUCUUUUCCUCUAUUCUUCCAAUCUCCAAACCUUUUAGGAAUUGAGCGAAAAAAUUGUCAUCCCCACCGAGCAACUUCAUCUUCAAUGCCUCGGUCCAUUGGGUGACCCAGAUCCCACUUAUCUGAUCAAUGCAGAAACCAAUAGAAUCCCCUUUAGGGCCGAAAAUUUUUCAUUAGAUGUGUGGAAAGAUACCUUCCAAUCCUGGCCAAUUUCUACCAAGGGAUGGAAGGACUGGUUUUUGAGAGUCAGCAACUCGAACGAAGUACAAUGGGGUGAACGCAAACUAGAUCAGUGUAUCGGGCUAUCCUUGUCUGAUAUGGAUAGGAAUGAGUCACUACUGAUAGUUGCUUCAUACUUCUGGUCAGACACUCUCAAUGCUUUCCUGUUCGGUCAUGGCCCUACUUCUCCCACUCUUGUCGAUGUGCUCAUGCUCACUGGCUUAGAUAUUGCAUCUGCCGAUGACGUCCAUCUGUACGACCGUAAAGCUGAAUGCAAGGUAGAAACCCGCAACAUCGGCGGUUGCUCAGGAUAUAUUCACAAGUACCAGAGGACAGGACUAGUCGGGUAGAGGGAACACGCCACUUUUCUGAACAUGUGGCUAGACAAGUUCGUCUUCUGUGGCCGAUCGGUAGGACCAACCUCUUUCUACUUAUCGGCAGCAGAAAGGCUAGCCGAUGGUGGCCGAUUUCCCCUUUGCCGAUACUUGCUAGGUUCUGCUUAUCACCUCAUCCACCAAGUGACUGAGAAGCUUCUGUUAGGUGAACCGAUCGGCAACCUAGGAGGCCCCUGAUGUUUUAUCAACAUGUGGCUUAAUGUUCAUAUGCACAAACGCCUUCGGUUCGAUCUCCUUGUACAGCGAUUCCCAAGAGACAUUGUCGAAGAUUAUGAACUAGCUAAUGAUGAAUCGACAACUCGCCCGCCCAUCAAUUAUGGCGAGGCUACUAUAGUUCUACCCGGUACCAGCUGCAACGAAAACCAAAUUGGCCGAUUCUUCCAAACCUUAUAUGACGGCCUUACCAAAGAACAUCGAGCAUGGAUGCCCUACAAAGAUCCAAAAACUAGAUUCCCGCUCAUCUUCCACCCUUUUGACAAUGCUCUCAAUAAGGAUAAUGACUUAAUGAUGGCAAUCAUCACUCCGAGGGCCAUCCCAGUGAACACCUUUGGCAGUGGGAAAAACACUAGCCCCACUUAUGAGUUUUACAAUCCAUUGGCACUAGCUCGUCAACUAGCUUUUGGCCAACUACCGAUCAGACUCUGUUAUGCCGAUGUGGUGAAGCCAAGGGAGAUAAUAACCAGUGGGCUUGAGUGGCUAAGGAUAGCUCAGCUUCAACCUAAUGCCGAUACAAUGGACAUCGAUUUAUCGGCAUGGGUGCCAGCUCUUUAUAUCACUCAGUUGUAUAAACAAUGGUGGGAGGAGUGGAAGGAGCACCUGUUCAGCACAUCGGCCCAUACAUACUGCGGCAUGAUCGACCCUGACUACAAAGUUCCCGAUGAUAUUGUAAGUCUUUUACCGAUACUUUGACCCUUCCGUUAUUUCUGUUCUUAUCGGCAACUUAUUUGUUUUGUGUUUAUUUCAACAGGUUGAUAAUCCAGCGCCAACAAUCAGCAGGAGUGGGAAGCCGAUCGAUCUUCUUCAAUCAGGCCCGAUUUCUUUGAUCAGCCACCACGCACCAAGUCUAGCGGCUCUAGCGCACCGCAACGUGCGCUUCAAGAAGACGACCACCAAGAGGUCAAAAGCAUCUCCAUCGGUAGCCGCUGCCACUCUAGCAUAGGCUUUCAAGGUAAAACUCAAUAAUUUCCUUUGCUUGUAUUGAUUUCAUCCCAUACUCAUAUCACUCUUUCAAGGUACAUCGGCCGCAACAGGAACUUCAUCGGUAAUUUUAUCUUCCAACAAAAUUUCAUCAAUAUUCUUUUAUGUUUUUACUCAUGAAGUUUUGGUUGUUGCAAGAGCAAACUGACUAUUCGGCUAAGACCAGAAGUGCUCAAACAAGUGCCGAUGCCCCCCAGCCCACUCAAGCUAAGAGAGGACAGCACCAAGUCACAACCAAAGCGCCAGAGGACAGCACCAUCUCCUCCUCCUCGUCCAGCAUCGCCUAUCCAUGUAGAAUCAUCACCUUCUUCACCGGAAGCCCAGACACAAGAAGUACCUUCUCCUCCCUGACAAGUACCCCAGCAGCAAGAAGCACCAGCCGAUGUCUCUGAACAGGUUGCCGAUCCGGCUGAUCUGGGCACGUCAUCGACCAUCCCUCUAGAACAAUCAAUCACCAUACAUCCUCAAGGUAAAAUAUUGAUCAUAGAAUUAUCACUGAUGAAUUUUAUUUUUGCAAAUCAUAAUCAACCUUGUAAUUUCUCAGUUGAAGUUAUUCCAUCGGCAACUCCAGUCGAUCAACCCAUAGUACCGGCUGCAUCCCCACGUCUGAGGCACGAAAUUGCUCUGAAGCAAGUAAGUUAUUUGAUCUCUAGCCUUUAUAUUAUUAAUACUUGAUCAUCAAAUAACUUAUCUCCAUUCCUUUCUUAGGAACAAGAUUCUCCAGACAACCUAUUCUCCUUUGCCAUCGACAUUUCCGAUGACGAGGGUGAAGAAGCAAGCUCUUCUCAAGCAGUAGGAAUCUCAUCGGUAGAGAUUAAAGCUAAGCUGGAAGACUUGUUGGCUCUACUGCAUCAAUACACAGCCCAGCUAGUAGAUGAUUCUGAUCUAGCCAAAGCUUUGUUCAAGACUCUUCGUGGUCAGAUCCCAGCCAAUGCAGAAGAAGUCCUUUUCCAAGCUACACACUUAGAAAGCCGCCAGCUCCAAUAUGAGAAAGCAACUCAGCGUCUUGCCGGUAGAGCUGCUCACGCCCGGCUCACAGAAGAAGUAAUGCAAGUAAAGUGCGCUGCCGAUGAAAAACACAAGAGCAUCGGCAUUCUGCAGUCCUCAGGGGAUGAGCUAAAGCAGAAGAUUUCUGACCUAUCGGCAAGAAGAGAAGCCCUGCUAGCUGAACUCAAACAGGUAGAAGAGGCUCUGACCCAAGCUCAGCAAGAAGAAAGCUAGCUGCCUGAAAUGCUCAAAACUCUUCAGCAAGAAAGAAAUAUCCAAGCUCGCAAAGCACUAUAGAUGAAGAAGAUACUGACGCCGAUAGAGGGUUCUGCCGAUGAAGAUAUUCGGGAGAUAGAAGCGGCCAACCAGAUCCGUCUGCACGCCAUAUCUACUAUCCAAGCUUUGCUAAACCUGUGAGCUCUUCAUCGGCAACUCGUUCAAUUCUGCCCUUAGAAAACUUCUAAUCAUUUUGAUCCAGCCGAUAGGAUUGUUAUCGGCACCUAAACAUUAUGCAUGAUCCCAGACAUAGUUCAUCUAGCCGAUAGGAGUGUUAUCGUCAUUUAAACUUUCACGCAUCAAUCCAGAUACUUGGGUAGUACUUCCUCAAAUAUUUUUCAUUUAAUGCUCUAGUAAAUUCAACUCCUUUGAGAGUUUCUAAAAUAUAAGUAUUGCCAGGAGCAUACCGACUUAUCCGAUAAGGACCUUCCCAAUUAGGAGACCAUUUUCCAAAUUUUAAAAUUUUAGUCCCAAUCAUUAGAAUUAAUUUCUAUACCAAAUCCCCAUCAGCAAACUCUUUGACUUUCACCUUUUUAUCAUACCAUUUGGCAACUCUCUUUUUAUUUUGUUCUAUACUUAUCAAACCUCUCAAUCGAUGCUCUACCAAAUCAUCCAACUCAUCUUUCAUCAAAGUAGCAUAGUCAUCGGCAGUUAAUUGAUCUUGGAAAGACAUCCGCCUAGAUCCAGUUUUAAUUUCCCAUGGUAACACCGCAUCGUGUCCAUACACCAACUGAUAGGGUGAAACUUUGGUUGACCCGUGACACGCCAUCCGAUAUGACCACAAAGCUUCAUUUAACAAUGUGUGCCACCUUCUUGGAUUUUCUUCAACUUUCCGCUUAAUAAGCUUAAUAAUCCCUUUGUUAGAAGCCUCGGCCUAUCCAUUAGCUUGAGCAUAGUAAGGAGAAGAAUUCAACACUUUAAUCCCCAUACCGAUUGCAAACUCAUCAAACUCUCCUGAUGUAAACAUGGUACCCUGAUCGGUAGUGAUUGUUUGAGGAAUGCCAAAUCGAUAAACAAUGUGUUCUUUCACAAAAUCAAUCAUGUUGGCCGAUGUCACUUUCUUCAAAGGAAUAGCUUCAACCCAUUUAGUAAAAUAAUCAGUGGCAACUAAGAUAAACUUACGACCCUUGCUUGACGGCAGAUAAAUCUGGCCGAUGAGAUCAAUGGCCCAUCCUCGGAACGGCCAAGGUUUAAUAAUGGGAUUCAUAGCCGAUGCAGGUUCCCUUUGAAUAUUGCUAAACUUCUGAUAUCCUUGACAUCCUUUGAAGUGUUUCAAGCAAUCUUCAAGUAUAGUCGUCUAAUAAUACUCGUUUCUCUUAAUCCUCCACUCCAUCUUGAAAGCCGAAUGAUGUGCUCCACAAACUCCAUGAAUUUCACCCAUCAAGCUUCUAGCUUCAUCAUCGCCCAAACAUUUAAGCAAAACUCCAUCUAUCAUUUGAUAAUACAACACUUCUUCAAGGAGCACAUACUUCGUGGCUUGAAACCUAACAUGCCUCUCAACUUUCUUGGAUGGAUCCUUUAAAUAAUUAAUAAUUUCUUUUCUCCAAUCAUCAGCACCGAUUGUCGAUAAUAUAUUCACGAUGGGUUGAUACCCCGAGGCAUGUUGAGCCAAUCGGUUGGCUUCUUCAUUAUGCAACCGAGGAAUAUGCUCUAACCGGAAAUUCUUGAAUUCCCUUAACAGUUGUACGCACCUUUCAUUGUAGGUUACCAAAACCUCAGUUUGGCAUUCAUAAAUUCCAGCCAACGGAUUUAUAACGAGCAUAGAAUCACCAAAGACUUCAACAGCAUCGGCAUGAACCUCCUUUAACAGUUCCAAUCCUUUGAUCAAAGCUUGGUAUUCAGCUUGAUUAUUUGUUGAAGUAGCAAUAAUCGGCAAAGAAAACUCAUACUUCUUUCCUUGAGCAGAAAUUAAUACUAUACCGAUUCCUGCCCCCCGGUCAUAUGUAGAUCCAUCAAAGAAGAGCAUCCAAGGAAUAAUUUCUAAGGCAUUCACUACACCACUGUGUUGAGUUACAAAAUCGGCCAUAAUCUGCCUUUUAACUACUUUAGCCGAUUCGUAACGUAGAUCAAAUUCUGAUAAUGCCAAUAUCCUUUUGCCGAUUCUACCAUUCAUAAUCGGCUUCGAUAACAUAUACCGGACCACAUCAUCUUUGCAUAUAACAGUGCACUCGGCCGAUAAUAAAUAGUGUCUCAAUUUGAUAAAUGAAAAGUAUAAGCAUAAGCAUAGUUUUUCAAUUGCCAAAUACCUUGUCUCAGCAUCCACCAAUCUUCUAUUUAGAUAAUAAAUCACACGCUCCUUCCCUUCAAAUUCUUGAAUCAGUGCUGAACUGAUGACCAUCCCAUCGGUAGACAAAUAUAAUCUUAAAGGCUUUCCUUGUUGAGGUGGAAUCAAAACCGGAGGACUUGUCAGAUAAUUUUUGAUUUCAUCCAAUGCCAACUGUUGCUCUUUUCCCCACACAAAUUCUUGAUCGACUUUUAACUUAAACAAAGGACUAAAAGCACGAAUCUUACUAGACAAAUUAGAUAUAAAUCGUCUGAUGAAAUUUAUCUUGCUGAUCAGUGAUUGAAGUUUGGUUUUAUUGGUGGGAGCGACUAUCUUGUUGAUGGCAUAAAUAGACCUCCUACUAAUUUCAAUCCCUCUUUGAUGCACCAUGAAACCAAGAAAUUGUCCUACCGAUACACCAAAUGCACAUUUAUUAGGAUUCAUCUUUAAACCAUGCUUCCUUGUGCACUCUAACACCUUUCGCAGAUCGGCUAGAUGCUUUGUGAAAUCCCCAGACUUAACCACCACGUCAUCAAUAUAGAUUUCCACCAGCUUGCCGAUGAACUUAUGAAAGAUAAAAUUCAUAGCCCUCUGAUAAGUAGCACCAGCAUUCUUCAAAGCAAAGGUCAUGACUAUCCAUUCAAACAGUCCAACAUGACCAGGACAACUAAAUGCAGUCUUGGGAAUAUCCUCCUCAUCCAUAAAUAUUUGAUUGUAUCCUGCAUUGCCAUCAAUAAAGCUAAUGAUCCGAUGUCUAGCUGCAGCAUCAACCAACAAAUCGGCAACCAGCAUUGGAUAACCAUCUAUUGGCGUAGCCUUAUUGAGGUUCCUAAAGUCAAUGCAGACACGAAGUUUCCCAUUCUUCUUGUAAACGAGGACAACAUUGGAAAUCCAUUUGGCAUACCGACAUUGCCGAAUAAAUUUAGCUUGGAUAAGUUUAGUUAUUUCAGCCUUCAUGUUAGGAAGAAUAUUAGGAUUGCAUCGGCAUGCUGGCUACUGAUGCGGCCGAAACCCAGACUUGAUAGGCAACCGAUGUUCAAUGAUCGAUCGGUCUAAAUCAGGCAUCUCGAUAUAAUCCCAAGCAAAGCAAUCUUUAUAUUCCUUUAACAAAUCGGUUAACUGUUGCUUACACUUAGAAUCUAACUUAGCACUAAUAAAAGUAGGCCUUGGCCUAUCACCAUUACCUAUAUCUACCUCUACUAAAUCAUCGGCCGAUGUAAACCCCUGACCUAGUUUUCCAUUAUCGGCGAACCUAUCCAUUAAAACCCUUCAUCAGAACCGACUGCUUGGAUCGGUGGAAUUUCAUAAUCGGCAACUUUGAGAAAAUCCUUCUCCCAAACUUCUCCUAAAAUGCAUCUGGUCCUUUCAUAAGUAUCUGCCUCUACCGAUGCGAUGACAUACGACGAAUCUCCUGGGACAAUUUCAAUCUUGUCACCUACCCAUUGAACCAAGCACUGGUGCAUUGUAGAGGGGAUACAACAAUUGGCAUAAAUCAAGUGUCUCCCCAGUAGCAAAUUGUAGGCACCAUUUCCACUAAUGACAAAGAAAGUCGUCGGCAAGGUUUUGCUGCCGAUGGUCAAUUCAACACAUAUGGCUCCUUUGAUUGGAGACACAUUUCCUUCAAAAUCUUUCAACAUCAUAUAGGUCUUGGUCAAAUCCUGAUCCCCUUUGCCAAGCUUCCGAUAGACUGCGCAUGGCAUAAUGUUGAUAGCAGCUCCACCAUCAAUAAGUAUCUUGGUCAUCGGCUGCCCAUCAACCCUACCUUUGACAAAUAAAGCUUUAAGAUGUUGUCUUUCGUCAUCAGCGGGCUUUUCAAAGAUAGCUGUCAUCGGGUCAAGAGCCAACUGAGCUAUCUGAUCAGGGAAAUCUAUCUCCUCAUCAUCACUGAAAGGUGCAAGGAAUUCCAUCGGCAAUAUAAACACCAUAUUAACAUCUGCCGAUGGGCCUUUUCCCUGGGGUCUGACUCCUGCCGAUCUCCGAACUUAGCAGAAUUCUCUUCCCUGCUCAGUUCUUCUUGUCGCUCUCGCUGCAGCCUUCUUUUCUGUGUCCUUGUCAACCAUUCUGGACACCAUAGGGGAAGCUGUGUUCUCCUCACUGGUUGAUGACGAUUUUCCCUUGAUUCCACCCGAUAAGUAUUAGCAUCCCUACAAAAUAUGAACUCAUUGGGAACUCACGCAUCCACCAUCUCCUCAAGUUCCUCUUGGUUUCUGGGAAAAUAGCUGACACGUUCACCAAGCCUGUCAAGCACACUGAGUCUACCCCCCAGCCGAUCGUGAACUGAUGUCCUUCCUUUAAUCGGCCCAUCAAAACGCCGAUUAUCGUCUUGAUAUCGCCGAUUUGGUCUACCAUGCCGAUUAUAACCAUUGCACUCAGGGCAGUCUCUAACAGUUGGUAGCUUGAUGUUUUGCUCCCAACAGUGGAUGAAGAACGGGCAAUUCAAAUGAUCUUUAUGCCGAUUCCACUCUUGUCGGCGUCUUUCCUCCUCCCGGUGACGAUUUUCCUGCUGGCGACGAUACUGAUCUUCACGCUGCUGGCAUGUUUCCUGAUGUGUCCUAUGGGUAAUUACAAUGCUGGACCGAGGAGGCCUCCCUGAGCUGGUGCCUUCUUGGAUCAAGCCCUUACCCUUGGCAUCAUCGGCAGUGAUUUGGUGCUGAGGAUCCACCGAUGCCUCUUUUCAGCUGCUUCCGAAGUUAAGACUUUAGUCUUUCCCUUAGCAUCCUACAUAUUUGUGGGGAAAGGAUGCUGAUCGAUCUUCAUCAGCUUUUGAGCUUUGGAGCUAUCGAAUUUAAUCCUCCCAGACUCUAUAGCCGAUUGCAGCUGUUGUCUAAACACCUUGCAUUCAUUUGUACUAUAGGACGUUGCAUUAUGCCACUUGCAAUACUUGAUCGUCUUCAACUCUUCUACCUAUGGAAUCACAUGGUUGGGCGACAAUUUAAUCUGCCCCUCCUGAAGAAGAAAGUCAAAUAUCCUAUCGGCUUUUGUGGUGUCAAAAGCAAACUUUUUUGGCUCCUUAUGGCCAAAAGGACAGGACAUCGGCUUUUUGUUCUUCACCCAUUCUGCCAAACCGAUGACUGGUUCUUCAUCAGAAUCUAAACUUGUUGCCUCAUCAACAAAUGAUACCUUUUUAUUCCAAGCUUUCUUGGGUUCAAUAGCGUUGAUAUCUUGAUCAAAAAUUCUCUGCACCAAAUGACUUAGACUUUCAAACUCUUGAGACGCAUAUUUGUCUUUGAUAUGUGGCAACAAUCCCUGGAAAGCCAAAUUGGCUAGCUGCCGAUCGUCCAGAACCAGACUAUAGCACUUGUUCUUGACAUCCCGCAACCUUUGCACAAAACUUUCAACCGAUUAAUCAUUGUGUUGCCUCAACCUGACUAAAUCGGUAAUCUUUUUCUCAUGAACUCCAGAAAAGAAGUAUUUAUGAAACUGCUUCUCUAGAUCAGCCCAAGUAAUUACUGAAUUUGGAGGUAACGAAAUAAACCUAGUGAAGGCCGACCCGGAAAAAGAUGAUGAGAAUAAAUGAACUCUUAACUCAUCUCUGUUAGCAGCUUCUCCACACUGGAUGAUGAACGUAUUAACAUGUUCCAUAGUUGACGUGUCAUCUUGUCUAGAGAAUUUGGUGAAAUCUGGCACCUUGUACCGAUUUGGAAGCGGGAUGAAGUCAUACACAGGAGGAUACGGUGUCCGAUAAGAGUAAGUAUUGACCUUUGGUUUUAUUCCAAAUUGAUCUCUCAUAACUUCAGCUAUCUUAUCGACACAAUAUGCAUCUGCAUCUUGCCGAUGUACAGGUUGAGGUUCUCGCGCCUGCUGAUAAGCUUCCAUGUGCCUCUGAUGCGCACGAUCUCCCAAGAACAUAGCAAUAGCCACGGUGUGUUGGCCACUAGCCUGCUGAGCGAGAUUCAUCGGCUGAUUGAUUGGUCCUUGAUUCUGAAAACCAAGCUGCAUCUGUCCGUGCUGGAAUCUCGUAGCCUGAUGAUUCUGCUGAGCCAUUUGUGGAAAGACAAACUGUCAUGUCCAUCCAUUGUUAACAUUCAUCAGCAUAGGUCCUGCCUAUGGCUGAUAGUUGGGUAUCAUCAUUGGAUUGACAUACCCUCUCUGAGUCAUAAACCUUUGAUGUGUCGGCAUUGGAUCUGCCGAUGCGUUAGGUAUCUGGAAUGUCGGCAUCUGAGAAAUUCCAGUAAAAGGCCUUGCAGUAGUGGUUGUCGAAUAUUAAGGAUUCUGAGUCAUCGGCGACACUGGGGUGCUGAUGUCAUAGUAGCGUUGCCUGUCACGUCAUCCACUUGAGACGUCCCAGAACUAUUUGCACCAAAGUCCGAGGGCAUACCAUAUCCCUAGAACUAUUUGCACCAAACUGUCCUAUCCAUCCAUUGUCACGUCAGCCACUUGAGCCUUGCCUGUCACGUCAGCCACUUGACAGUUUUGGAAUACAGAUCCUGACAUUGCUGAUGCCAAUAGAUCUGUAGCAAGUUGAACUUGUCCCUCUGAUGUUGCUGGAUUAGUCCUCAUCGGUGUAGAUUGCCCAUUAGUCAUCCCUAAUGUGCUUGGAGGAAAUGUAACUUCCGUACCCACAACGGCUGGAGGAGCCGAUGGAGUCGUAACCGAUGAUGAUCCUGGCUGAUGAUAGGCCGGGCCCAUGUUGACGGUUCUUAAGUAUCAAUUUUAAUUAUCAAAUAAACAAGAGAAAGGACCAAUAUGCAACCAACACCUAGAAUUAGGGUUUGAUCUGACAGAAUUCCACGAGUUUUGUUGUUUAUCUAUUUCUGCAGGGGGUUAUCAGGAAAUAAGGAAGAAAGGCCCACAUGUCGGGAUUACAUAGAGAUAUCAACGCACCGCGUAAUUUUACAUCAUCUAGAAGACUCCAGAAGCCACGAGACCGAAGCGGAGGCGAAGCUAGGCCAGGCCCAGGGCGCCCGCCCUGGAAGCCUGGGCGCCCGCCCCCUGCUGGAGCCAAAUCAGGACUCUUUCGUUCGGGAUAUUCCACCGACCUAUUGGAUCAAGAAAAACAUAGUACCACCUCGGCUAUCGACCCAAAAACGCAUAGAAGGGGAGGACUAUAUAAGCAAGGCUCCCCUGGCCCCUGGAGAAGACAUGAAGAAAUUAUCAUAGAGACUGAGGGGUGCCCUCGAAGGAAAACCUCUUCUCUAAUUAAUAUUUCUUUUUAGGCUUAGCAAUCAAUGUAAGGUAGAAAUAGAUCUUCUAGUUUCUACUAGAUUGAGAGAGAUAGAGUGGAGGUGUAGAGUGGAGGAAGCCCGGCCUGUCGGUGUCUACUCCAAGCUUGUACCUGCGGGAUCAAGUUCUCCUAAUCCGAAGCUUGCUCCUAGGAUUCUUCAGUAAUUCGACUUCUAAAUUCUAGUAAGUUCUUGUUUUAUUGUUCUUAUGGUUUAUGAGUUUACUUUAAUCUCUUCGCGUAGAGUUUAGAGUAAUCAUUGCUGGCGUAAACGUGGUGUUUAGGCUGGGGUACUCAUAGAUAUUCCCUGACUAGCUGGACCGUGGUAGUAGUGAGGAACGUGACAAUUCCGAGCUACCUUUGUAGAUCACAUCUCGUUAGCAGGAAGGAUAGGGUUUAUAGGUGCGGGUCGAACAUCCUUUGUGGUGUCUAGAUUCUGUUAGCCUCCCCAUUAGAACAGUAGAUCAUCCUUACCAAGGUUAGAAGGAGACUACGGUUGCAGUCUUCUCUAUUUAUCACUCACAUCGAAAGACAUUCUUUGUGCCUAAAGGUUAGUAGUAAUAGACCGGUUAGUCAGAUGCACUCUUUCUCCUAGUGGUAAAAAAAAUAAAUACGAUACUCUGGAUAAUUUCCCGGGUGAAGUGCUCACCGAUAUCCAUGCGCUUGCGGAUCAAUUCCUUAUUGCGUUCCCAAAUAUCAACAAGCAUUUCUGGCGCCGUUGCCGGGGAGAAAGACGGUUGCUGAGAUAACCUGAGUCUUGCUACUAGCUUGUAUCUAUACUUUUAUCUUUUCUUAUCUUUUAUAUUCUUUAUUUAUUUUCUUUAUUCUUACCUUAUGGAAAACCAAAAUUCUAAAUCGAUCCAUGAGUCUGCAAUCCCUUUAGCAACUGACCUUUUACCAUGGGAAUCAUCACAGCCUAUCCAAACACCCCAGUAUAAGUUAAGUUCUAGGUUGAUUGCCAUGAUUCAAAACCUAUCUUUUUCGGGAAAGGAAGACGAAAACCCUUACCUUCAUAUUAGAGAUUUUGAGCAAACAUGUGAUUGUCUUCGCAUUGAAGGCAUUUCUGAUAAGACUUUAUGUUGGAAGCUUUUUCCUUUUUCUCUAAGGGGAGAAGCUAGACAAUGGUACAGUCAGAAGGUAAGUCAAAAACAAGGAGAAUGGGGAGUUUUACGAGCCAACUUUUGUCUAGAUUUCUAUUCCCUUGACCGUAUAGCCGACCUUAGACUCGAAGUCCUAUCUUUUAAACAAAAAGAUAAUGAAACUUUGGGAAAAUCCUGGAAACGUUUUUCUGAUCUUUUAGAAUCUGGUCCAAACCUUAAUCUUGAAGACCCUGUUCUUUUAUUUCACUUUUUUCGAGGUCUUCAUAAAAAUCACAAACAAAUGCUACACACAAUGUCUAGAGGUUCUUUCUUUCGCAUCCCUGCUGAUGAAGCAAGAGUGAUCCUAGAUAGAAUCCUAGAAGCUGAGAUGGAUAAUACCCUUCAUGAUGAAACCUACGAAGCCGAAGUAGACACUCUGCCAAAUUCUUCAUCUACUUUAGCUAUCCCAAGUUCUGAGCCACAAGAGGAAGAAAUUCCACUACCGGACUUCAUGCUGGAUAUAGAAUCCGAUCUUUUUGCCGAUUUUGGAAAUAUUUCAAACUACCAUUCUAUUGACAAACCCCAAAACGGCCAGUUUAGCAUUUAUUUACCAAGUGAAUAUCAAUUGAGAGAGCUUAUCUCAGUAAUGAGUAGCGAAUGGUUGGAGGAAUCAGAGCUUUCCUCUGAUGUGAUCCGUUUGGACACACCCUCUAUAACUAUACGCUGUGCUUAUAAUUCUGAUCGAUUUAAUGCUCUUUAUAAUCCUGUUGUGGGGAUCAACAUUAUGUCUGAAUCCUUUGCACUUAAACUAUUUAAAAAUCUUAUCUUAACCCCCACAACAAAGGUCAUAAAGGAAUCUUCGGGACGAUUAGUCCCCAGUCUUGGAAUUAUUAAUGUCCUACCUCUUACGGUAGAAGGCUCCAUGGUUCAUUUGAACAUUUAUAUCUUUGAUACAUGGGACUUCGACCUGUUGAUAGGACAACCUUUUAGAAGACUCCUUUAUGAAGGUCAUACUGGAAAGCUACACAUUUCUUUUGGAAAAACUUUUAAAUUCCCAAUAAUAAUUUCACACUCCUUAAAUAAUAAGGCUGAGUCAUAUCUUUUGCCUGAUCCUAUGGAGGAAGUAAAGGCUGCAUCUCUAGAGCUUUUAGAUGAACCAGACUUAGAAGACGAAACUCCUUUCUUCACAGAAGAAGAAGACGAACCUUCCGAGCCUGAACCCUUAGAUGAGUUUGCAGAAACACCUAGACCCCCCAUAGAACUUAAAACUUUACCACCCGGUCUUACCUAUGCUUUCCUAAACAAUAAUCCAGAGUUCUCUGUGAUCAUUAGCGAUAAACUCACUCAGGAUCAAACUCUGCGAUUAAUGACCAUUCUUGAGAAACAUCACUCGGUUUUUGGCUACUCACUUCAAGAUCUUACAGGAAUCAGUCCUAUGAUUUGUACCCAUCGUAUUCCAACAGAUCCUUCUGUUACACCCUCUCAAGAACCCCAACGUAGACUUAACAACACUAUGAGAGAGGUAGUUAAAAAGGAAGUUAUUAAGUUGCUGCAUGCAGGGAUUAUAUAUCCUGUGCCGCACAAUGAGUGGGUGAGCCCAGUCCAAGUUGUGCCCAAAAAGGGAGGCAUGACAGUUAUUAUGAAUGAAAAGAACGAGCUAAUUCCGCAACGCACCGUCACAGGAUGGCGGAUGUGCAUAGACUUUUGAAAACUAAACAAAGCCACGAGAAAAGAUCACUUUCCCUUACCUUUUAUAGAUGAGAUGCUAGAGCGGUUAGCAAACCAUUCAUUCUUUUGUUUCUUAGAUGGAUAUUCAGGGUAUCAUCAAAUCCCGAUCCAUCCCGAUGAUCAAAGCAAAACCACUUUUACAUGCCCUUAUGGAACUUAUGCUUAUCGUAGAAUGUCUUUUGGGUUAUGUAAUGCACCAACUUCUUUUCAAAUGUCUAUAUUUUCUGAUAUGAUUGAAGAGAUUAUGGAAGUUUUCAUGGAUGAUUUCUCUGUUUAUGGAAAAACUUUUGAUAGUUGUCUUGAAAACUUAGAUAUGGUUUUGCAAAGAUGUGAAGAAAAGCACUCAAUCCUUAAUUGGGAAAAAUGUCAUUUUAUGGUUAGGGAAGGAAUAGUGCUAGGACACUUAGUGUCUGAAAGAGGGAUUGAGGUAGACAAAGCUAAAAUUGAAGUAAUUGAACAACUACCUCCACCUGUGAAUAUAAAAGGAAUUCGAAGCUUUCUUGGCCAUGCUGGUUUUUAUCGUAGAUUCAUAAAAGAUUUUUCAUUCAUUCCUAGACCACUUACUCUUUUGCUAGCCAAGGAUGCUCCUUUCGAAUUUGAUGAUGCAUGUCUAACAUCUUUCAAUUUAUUAAAGAAAGCACUCAUCUCUGCACCAAUCAUUCAACCCCCUGAUUGGUCGUUACCUUUUGAAAUUAUGUGUGAUGCUAGUGAUUAUGCUGUGGGGGCAGUAUUGGGACAAACUAAAGAUAAGAAGCAUCAUGCAAUUGCUUAUGCCAGUAAAACUUUGACAGGAGCUCAACUUAAUUAUGCAACCACUAAAAAAGAGCUUCUGGCUGUUGUCUUUGCCAUUGAUAAAUUUAGAUCUUAUUUAGUUGGAGCUAAAAUAAUUGUUUACACUGAUCAUGCUGCACUAAAAUAUUUGCUCACUAAAAAAGAUGCUAAACCUCGCCUGAUUAGAUGGAUCUUAUUACUCCAAUAAUUUGACUUAGAAAUAAAAGAUAAAAAAGGAGUAGAAAAUUCUGUUGCUGAUCACUUGUCUAGAAUGUAUUUUAAGAGUCCACAGGAAACCCCCAUCAAUGAUUCACUCCGGGACGACAUGCUCUACGGGAUUAACAGGUCUGACCCCUGGUAUGCAGAUAUUGUUAAUUUUAUGGUUUCAGGGUAUGUACCACCAGGAGCAAACAAGAAGAAGCUUAUUCAAGAAAGUCGUUCACAUAUAUGGGAUGAGCCAUACCUCUUCCGAGUAUGCUCUGAUGGCUUACUCAGGAGAUGUGUGACCACUGAGGAAGGAUGGAAGAUCAUCGACAGAUGUCAUUCAUCACCAUAUGGAGGUCACUAUGGAGCAUUCCGUACACAUUCAAAGAUCUGGCAGUGUGGAUUCUACUGGCCUACAAUGUAUGAAGACACGAAGCAAUAUAUCAGGAGAUGUGGGCCAUGUCAAAGGCACGGAAACAUAAAUACAAGGGAUGCAAUGCCACUCACCACCAACCUUCAGAUUGAGCUCUUCGAUGUCUGGGGAAUAGACUACAUGGGUCCAUUUCCUCCAUCAAAGAAGUGCGAGUACAUCUUGGUGGCGGUUGACUAUGUCUCCAAGUGGGUAGAGGCAUUACCUUGCAAGCAUGCCGACAACGUCAGUUCAAAGAGGAUGUUUGAAGAAAUUAUAUUUCCAAGAUUUGGAGUUCCCAGAGUAGUGAUAAGUGAUGGAGGAGCACACUUCAUCGACAAACGCUUCAAGCAAUAUCUAUCAAGACAUGGAAUCCGUCACAACGUCGCUACCCCCUAUCAUCCUCAGACAAGUGGCCAAGCAGAGACUUCCAACAAACAAAUCAAGAAUAUUCUUCAAAAGACAGUAAAUGAAAUGGGAACGGCGUGGAAAGACAAGUUACCCGAUGCACUCUGGGCAUACCGGACAGCAUACAAGACCCCAAUUGGAAUGUCUCCAUACCAUUUGGUGUACGGGAAGACUUGCCAUCUACCUGUUGAACUAGAGUUCAAAGCACACUAGGCCAUAAAGAGAUGGAAUAUGGACCUAGAUGUUGCUGGAGAUUAUAGAAGAAUGCAACUAUCAGAAUUGGAAGAAUGGCGAGAGAAGGCAUAUCACAAUUCAAAAAUCUACAAAGAAAGAGUCAAGAGGUGGCAUGACAAGAGAAUCAAGAAGAAGGAGUUCACACCCGGAGAUAAGGUAUUACUUUUUAAUUCCAGGGUAAAGCUUUUCGGGCAUGGAAAACUCCAGAGCAAAUGGGAAGGACCAUUCAAGGUAAUCAAUUCAUCAUCCCACGGAGCUAUCACACUUCAAAAUAGCGAAGGUACGUUAUUCAAGGUAAAUGGUCAACGUCUUAAAUUAUUUUUAGAGCCCAAUGAGGAAUUUGAAGAAAUAGACGUAGUCCAUUUUUACCUUCCCAUAGAAAAUUAGAGCCCGACACUUUUGGUCUGAUGGUUUUGGGGCAUAUAUAUAUUUUUCUAAAUAAUUUCGCAUCUAGAAACGCGCUCGGAAAAGUGGGCCCACAGAGGGGCUAGAGAGAGGGCGGGCGCCCAGGUCAAGUGGGCGGGCGCCCAGCCCCUGUUCCCCCUCGGUCCCGACUUUCUCUGUUAUGGAAAAUGCACUUAGGGUGAUCCGAAUAAUCCCUCGGAUGGAAAGUUUCGCACGCACAUCGACGGGAGCAACCCGAACAACCCAUAGAGGCAUCCUUUUGACCCCUAUAUAAACAGACCCCUGACCUCAGUUUUCAGACACCAAGCCACCAAGCUUUCUCUCCUUCAAUUAGAGCUUAAUUAGCUCUACUUCAAUUAAAAUUUUAUUAGUUCCUUGCUACUCCAAUGGCCGACAAGUACCACGACGAUUGGGAAGUCGUCCCCUUCAACCUCAACAUGGAGCCAGUGGAAGACCCCGAUGCCCGUGCUCUCGUCCUGGCCAACACAGAGCGUCAGCUAGAAGCCAUGCCAUUACGCCAACGCAGCUCCGCCCAAUCUUACCAUGCUCAACCAGUUCUCACCGCACCACCACAACCCCUACUCCUCAAAGGACCAUCAUCCAAGACAAAGACCACUAUCAAGGUACCAAUCGGCACAAGGAUCCUUCCACCUAGACCCAAUGAGAGGGUCGUUGGAGUCAAGACCAACCGGAGCGUCGAGAUCAGCAGCGUUCGCUACACUACGGAGGAGGAAAGGCCUUACUUUGAAGGGAUUAGAGCAUCCAAAGUCCGUUUCAUCCCUCCAAAGGCAGCCCCGAAGCACGCUCUCAAUGCUUUUGAGACACCUCCCAAGCGUCGCAAGACUAUAAUGUAUAUUGAUGAGGAAGUUCGCAGGCUAGAUAAAGUUAUCAUAGACCUCCAGUCCUCGAUUAAUUCCCUCACUAGGCAGCUCUCUAACCACAACACCAUUAUACUAGGCCUUAGGCAGGAUCUUGCCAGUGCCAACAAGAAGAUCAAGGAAUUAGAGCGCCGUUAAGUUAUCUAGAUUAGACCUUGAGGCAAUGCAUUUUAGUUAUCUAUCUUUAAAUUUGGUUUAGAUUUACUAUUAUCAUCAGUUUGUUAUCAGUCUUUUGUACUAAAUGCCUCAAGAUCAAUAAAGAGUAUUACUAUUAUUAUUAUUAUGUCUUGUGUGUCUCUACUUUAUUUUUGUGCAAGAAAGCAGAAAACAAGUAUGGGGGAGAUCCCUCAACAUGCCAAACACACUCCGACUACACCACUCCACGAUUCAGGUACACACUCUGCACACUUUACUUCAUACAUACAUUUAUUUUGGAUUAUGCAGAUUACUGUUUCCGACAUGAUAAAAUAAAAAGAUUAAAAUAUUUCUAAUCAUGAUUAAUCUCAAUCUGUGAUAUUUCCUGAAAACUUGCAAUUAUUAUAAAAUCAUUUUAAAACCCUGUGUUACUUAAGUCAAUAUGGAAUAUGUGAUGGUAGAGUAUGAGUUUCUUAUUCUUGAUAUCAUUGUUUCUUGGAGAAUUUGUUUCAAAAUAUUCAAAAUUCUAGCUACCAUCCUCAGUGUUUUAUAUGCCUGAUAAAAAUAAAAAUAUUAAUGAUGAUUAUAAAGCUAUCUACUCUGUAUUGAGUUUGUUCAAAAUGAGUUAGACCCUUGUUGAGAGAUUUAUCGUGCUCCCAAGAUCAAGACACUAUUUCAGUAAGAUUCACUCUUCCGAAGUAUUAUUGCAUUAGAGGCAUGGGCUAUGCAAAAAUAGAGAUAUUUCGAGGAAAUAAAAAGGAGCAAGUGCUCGACAACCUCACAGAAAAAAUGGACAAGUGUCCGGCAGUAGAAUUAGGGGUACCUCGGUAUCCACUUAAAAAAAUGAAAUGAAAAUGAUAGCCCAUGGUCCCUCUAAUAAGCAAUAUGCCAGCAAGAGAUGACAAAGUUUUUAAUUUCCAAAGUCUUUGAUCUAAGAGUGACAUUCCCCUCCUCGGAUCCCGUUUUGAUCAGGCAACAAAUGCAAAGUAAGAAUGCUUGAGAAUUUUUUGCAAAAUAAAACAACCUCAGUGAGAUAUAUAAAAGAUAAUGAGUGAUCUGAGAGAACCUAUGAGGAUAAAAAGGUAUGCUAACUGUUGAUAUUUGGGAAUGCAAUAAGGAAUUGAUCCGCAAGCGCACGGAUAUUGGUGAGCACUUCACCCGGGAGGUUAUCCAGAGUAUCGUAUUUAUUUUUUUACCACUAGGAGAAAGAGUGCAUCUGACUAACCGGUCUAUUACUACUAACCUUUAGGCACAAAGAAUGUCUUUCGAUGUGAGUGAUAAAUAGAGAAGACUGCAACCGUAGUCUCCUUCUAACCUUGGUAAGGAUGAUCUACUGCUCUAAUGGGGAGGCUAACGGAAUCUAGACACCACAAAGGAUGUUCAACCCGCACCUAUAAACCCUAUCCUUCCUGCUAACGAGAUGUGAUCUACAAAGGUAGCUCGGAAAUGUCACGUUCCUCACUACUACCACGGUCCAGCUAGUCAGGGAAUAUCUAUGAGUACCCCAGCCUAAACACCACGUUUACGCCAGCAAUGAUUACUCUAAACUCUACGCGAAGAGAUUAAAGUAAACUCAUAAACCAUAAGAACAAUAAAACUAGAACUUACUAGAAUUUAGAAGUUGAAUUACUGAAGAAUCCUAGAAGCAAGCUUCGGGUUAGGAGAACUUGAGCCCGCAGGUACAAGCUUGGAGUAGACACCGACAGGCCGGGCUUCCUCCACUCUACACCUCCACUCUAUCUCUCUCAAUCUAGUAGAAACUAGAAGAUCUAUUUCUACCUUACAUUGAUUGCUAAGCCUAAAAAGAAAUAUUAAUUAGAGAAGAGGUUUUCCUUCGAGGGCACCCCUCAGUCUCUAUGAUAAUUUCUUCUCCAGGGGCUAGGGGCCUUGCUUAUAUAGUCCUCCCCUUCUAUGCGUUUUUGGGUGGAUAGGCGAGGUGGUACUAUGUUUUCCUUGAUCCAAUAGGUCGGUGGAAUAUCCCGAGCGAAGGAGUCCUGAUUUGGCACCAGCAGGGGGGCGGGCGCCCAGGCUACCAGGGCGGGCGCCCUGGGCCUGGCCUAGUUUUGCCUCCGCUUCGGUCUCGUGGCUUCUGGAGUCUUCUAGAUGAUGUAAAAUUGCGCGGUGCGUUGAUAUCUCUAUGUAAUCCCGACAUGUGGGCCUUUCUUCCUUAUUUCCUGAUAACCCCCUGCAGAAACAGAUAAACAACAAAACUCGUGGAAUUCUGUCAGAUCAAACCCUAAUUCUAGGUGUUGUUUGCAUAUUGGUCCUUUCUCUUGUUUAUUUGAUAAUUAAAAUUGAUACUUAAGAACCGUCAACAAAUACCCCCAUACUUAGGCUUUUACUCGUCCUCGAGAAAAGGAUGGUUAUGAAAAAUAUCUGGGGUAAACAUUUAAAACAUUCUCUUUAUAGUUGCAGGGUGUUAAAAAUUCCACUGUGUACCAUAGUCAGGGAAGUGUAUGAUUAAGAGUAAAGAUCCUUUCUUCUCAAUCCUGUCACUUGGAGUUUUUUUUUGUAUAUUUUUUUGAAAGAAAGUUAGCAUACCUUUUUAUCCUCAUAGGUUCUCCCAGAUCACUCAUUAUCUUUUAUAUAUCUCACUGAGGCUGUUUUAAUUUUGCAAAAAUUCUCAAGCAUUCUUACUUUGCAUUUAUUGCUUGAUCAAAACGGGAUCCGAGGAGGGGAAUGUCAUACUCUUAGAUCAAAGACUUUAGAAAUUAAGAACUUUGUCAACUCUUGCUGGCAUAUUGAUUAUUAGAGGGACCAUGGGCUAUCAUUUUUUUAAGUGGAUACCGAGGUACCCCUAAUUCUACUGCCGGACACUUGUCCAUUUUUUUCUGCGAGGUUGUCGAGCACUUGCUCCUUUUUAUUUCCUCGAAAUAUCUUAUUUUUGAAUAGCCCAUGCCUCUAAUGCAAUAAUACUUCGGAAGAGUGAAUCUUACUGAAAUAGUGUGUUGAUCUUGGGAGCAUGAUAAAUCUCUCAACAAGGGUCUAACUCAUUUUGAACAAACCCAAUACGGAGUAGAUAGCUUUUAUAAUCAUAAUUAAUAUUUUAGUUUUAUCAGGCAUAUAAAACACUGAGGAUGGUAGCUAGAAUUUUGAACAUUUUGAAAUAAAUUCUCCAAGCAACAAUGAUAUCAAGAAUAAGAAACUCAUACUCUACCAUCACAUAUUCCAUAUUGACUUAAGUAACACAGGGUUUUAAAAUGAUUUUAUACUAAUUGCGAGUUUUCAGGAAAUAUCACAGAUUGAGAUUAAUCAUGAUUAGAAAUAUUUUAAUCCUUUUAUUUUAUCAUGUCAGAAACAGUAAUCUGCAUAGUCCAGAAUAAAUGUAUGUGUAAAGUAAAGUGCACAGAGUGUGUACCUGAAUCGUGGAGUGGUGUAGUCGGAGUGUGUUUAGCAUGUUGAGGGAUCUCCCCCAUACUUGUUUUCUGCUUUCUUGCACAAAAGUAAAGUAGAGACACACAAGACAUAAUAAUAAUAGUAAUACUCUUUAUUGAACUUGAGGCAUUUAUUACAGAAGACUGAUAGCAAACUGAUAGCAAACUUAAACUGAAUUUAAAGAUAGAUAACUAAGAUGCAUUGCCUCAAGGUCUAAUCUAGAUAAAUUAGCGGCGCUCUAAUUCCUUGAUCUUCUUGUUGGCACUGGUAAGAUCCUGCCUAAGGCCUAGUAUAAUGGUGUUGUGGUUAGAGAGCUGCCUAGUGAGGGAAUUAAUUGAGGACUGGAGGUCUAUGAUAACUCUAUCUAGCCUGCGAAGUUCCUCAUCAAUAUCCAUUAUAGUCUUGCGACGCUUGGGAGGUGUCUCAAAAGCAUUGAGAGAGUGCUUCGGGGCUGCCUUUGGAGGGAUGAAACGGACUUUGGCUGCUCUAAUCCCUUCAAAGUAAGGCCUUUCCUCCUCUGUAGUGAAGUGUACACUGCUGAUCUCGCCGCUCUGGUUGGUCUUGACUCCAACGACCCUCUCAUUGGAUCUAGGUGGAAGAAUCCUUAUGCCGAUUGGCACCUUGAUAGUGGUCUUCGUCUUCGAUGAUGAUCCUGUGAGGAGUAGGGGUUGUGGUGGUGCGGUGAGAACUGGUUGAGCAUGGUAAGAUUGGGCAGAGCUGCGUUGGCGUAAUGGUAUGGCUUCUAGCUGACGCUCUGUGUUGGCCGGGACGAGAGCACGGGCAUCGGGGUCUUCCACUGGCUCCAUGUUGAGGUUGAAGGGGACGACUUCCCAAUCAUCGUGGUACUUCUCGGCCAUUGGAGUAGCAAGGAACUAAUAAAAUUUUAAUUGAAGGAGAGCUAAUUAAGCUCUAAUUGAAGGAGAGAAAGCUUGAUGGCUUGGUGUUUGAAAACUGAGGUCAGGGGUCUGUUUAUAUAGGGGUCAAAAGGAUGCCUCUAUGGGUUGUUCGGGUUGCUCCCGUCGAUGUGCGUGCGAAACUUUCCAUCCGAGGGAUUAUUCGGAUCAACCUAAGUGCAUUUUCCAUAACAGAGAAAGUCGGGACCGAGGGGGAACAGGGGCUGGGCGCCCGCCCACUUGACUUGGGCGCCCGCCCUCUCUCUGGCCCCUCUGUGGGCCCACUUCUCCGAGCGCGUUUCUAGAUGCGAAAUUAUUUAGAAAAAUAUAUAUGCCCCAAAACCAUCAGACCAAAAGUGUCGGGCUCUAAUUUUCCAUAGGAAGGUAAAAAUGGACUACGUCUAUUUCUUCUAAUUCCUCAUUGGGCUCUAAAAAAUAAUUUCAGACGUUGACCAUUUACCUUGAAUAACGUACCUUCGCUAUUUUGAAGUGUGAUAGCUCCGUGGGAUGAUGAAUUAAUUACCUUGAAUGGUCCUUCCCAUUUGCUUCGGAGUUUUCCAUGCCCGAAAAGCUUCACCCUGGAAUUAAAAAGUAAUACCUUAUCUCCGGGUGUGAACUCCUUCUUCUUGAUUCUCUUGUCAUGCCACCUCUUGACUCUUUCUUUGUAGAUCUUUGAAUUGUGAUAUGCCUUCUCUCGCCAUUCUUCCAAUUCUGAUAGUUGCAUUCUUCUAUAAUCUCCAGCAAGAUCUAGGUCCAUAUUCCAUCUCUUUAUGGCCCAGUGUGCUUUGAACUCUAGUUCAACAGGUAGAUGGCAAGUCUUCCCGUAUACCAAUUGGUAUGGAGACAUCCCAAUUGGGGUCUUGUAUGCUGUCCGGUAUGCCUAGAGUGCAUCAGGUAACUUGUCUUUCCACGCCGUUCCCAUUUCAUUUACUGUCUUUUGAAGAAUAUUCUUGAUUUGUUUGUUGGAAGUCUCUGCUUGGCCACUUGUCUGAGGAUGAUAGGGGGUAGCGACGUUGUGACGGAUUCCAUGUCUUGAUAGAUAUUGCUUGAAGCGUUUGUCGAUGAAGUGUGCUCCUCCAUCACUUAUCACUACUCUGGGAACUCCAAAUCUUGGAAAUAUAAUUUCUUCAAACAUCCUCUUUGAACUGACGUUGUCGGCAUGCUUGCAAGGUAAUGCUUCUACCCACUUGGAGACAUAGUCAACUGCCACCAAGAUGUACUCGCACUUCUUGGAUGGAGGAAAUGGACCCAUGUAGUCUAUUCCCCAGACAUCAAAGAGCUCAAUCUGAAUGUUGUUGGUGAGUGGCAUUGCAUCCCUUGUAUUUAUGUUUCCGUGCCUUUGACAUGGCCCACAUCUUCUGAUAUAUUGCUUCGUGUCUUCAUACAUUGUAGGCCAAUAGAAUCCACACUGCCAGAUCUUUGAAUGUGUACGGAAUGCUCCAUAAUGACCUCCAUAUGGUGAUGAAUGACAUCUGUCGAUGAUCUUCCAUCCUUCCUCAGUGGUCACACAUCUCCUGAGUAAGCCAUCAGAGCAUACUCGGAAAAGGUAUGGCUCAUCCCAUAUAUGUGAACGACUUUCUUGAGUAAGCUUCUUCUUGUUUGCUCGUGGUGGUACAUACCCUGAAACCAUAAAAUUAACAAUAUCUGCAUACCAGGGGUCAGACCUGUUAAUCCCGUAGAGCAUGUCGUCCCGGAGUGAAUCAUUGAUGGGGGUUUCCUGUGGACUCUUAAAAUACAUUCUAGACAAGUGAUCAACAACAGAAUUUUCUACUCCUUUUUUAUCUUUUAUUUCUAAGUCAAAUUCUUGGAGUAAUAAGAUCCAUCUAAUCAGGCGAGGUUUAGCAUCUUUUUUAGUGAGCAAAUAUUUUAAUGCAGCAUGAUCAGUGUAAACAAUUAUUUUAGCUCCAACUAAAUAAGAUCUAAAUUUAUCAAUGGCAAAGACAACAGCCAGAAGCUCUUUUUCAGUGGUUGCAUAAUUAAGUUGAGCUCCUGUCAAAGUUUUACUGGCAUAAGCAAUUGCAUGAUGCUUCUUAUUUUUAGUUUGUCCUAAUACUUCCCCCACAGCAUAAUCACUAGCAUCACACAUAAUUUCAAAAGGCAACGACCAAUCAGGGGGUUGAAUGAUUGGUGCAGAGAUGAGUGCUUUCUUUAAUAAAUUGAAAGAUGUUAGACAUGCAUCAUCAAAUUCGAAAGGAGCAUCCUUGGCUAGCAAAAGAGUAAGUGAUCUAGCAAUAAAUGAAAAAUCUUUUAUGAAUCUACGAUAAAAACCAGCAUGGCCAAGAAAGCUUCGAAUUCCUUUUAUGUUCACAGGUGGAGGUAGUUGUUCAAUUACUUCAAUUUUAGCUUUGUCUACCUCAAUACCUCUUUCAGACACUAAGUGUCCUAGCACUAUUCCUUCCCUAACCAUAAAAUGACAUUUUUCCCAAUUAAGGAUUAAGUGCUUUUCUUCACAUCUUUGCAAAACCUUGUCUAAGUUUUCAAGACAACUAUCAAAAGUUUUUCCAUAAACAGAAAAAUCAUCCAUGAAAACUUGAAGUGAGUAGCUGAAAACUGAGUGAUGUUUCUCAAGAAUGGUCAUUAAUUGCAGAGUUUGAUCCUGAGUGAGUUUAUCGCUAAUGAUCACAGGGAACUCUAGAUUAUUGUUUAGGAAAGCAUAGGUAAGACCGGGUGGUAAAGUUUUAAGUUCUAUGGGGGGUCUAGGUGUUUCUGCAAACUCAUCUAAGGGUUCAGGCUCGGAAGGUUCGUCUUCUUCUUCUGUGAAGAAAGGAGUUUCGUCUUCUAAGUCUGGUUCAUCUAAAAGCUCUAGAGAUGUAGCCUUUACUUCCUCCAUAGGAUCAGGCAAAAGAUAUGACUCAGCCUUAUUAUUUAAGGAGUGUGAAAUUAUUAUUGGGAAUUUAAAAGUUUUUCCAAAAGAAAUGUGUAGCUUUCCAGUAUGACCUUCAUAAAGGAGUCUUCUAAAAGGUUGUCCUAUCAACAGGUCGAAGUCCCAUGUAUCAAAGAUAUAAAUGUUCAAAUGAACCAUGGAGCCUUCUACCGUAAGAGGUAGGACAUUAAUAAUUCCAAGACUGGGGACUAAUCGUCCCGAAGAUUCCUUUAUGACCUUUGUUGUGGGGGUUAAGAUAAGAUUUUUAAAUAGUUUAAGUGCAAAGGAUUCAGACAUAAUGUUGAUCCCCACAACAGGAUUAUAAAGAGCAUUAAAUCGAUCAGAAUUAUAAGCACAGCGUAUAGUUAUAGAGGGUGUGUCCAAACGGAUCACAUCAGAGGAAAGCUCUGAUUCCUCCAACCAUUCGCUACUCAUUACUGAGAUAAGCUCUCUCAAUUGAUAUUCACUUGGUAAAUAAAUGCUAAACUGGCCGUUUUGGGGUUUGUCAAUAGAAUGGUAGUUUGAAAUAUUUCCAAAAUCGGCAAAAAGAUCGGAUUCUAUAUCCAGCAUGAAGUCCGGUAGUGGAAUUUCUUCCUCUUGUGGCUCAGAACUUGGGAUAGCUAAAGUAGAUGAAGAAUUUGGCAGAGUGUCUACUUCGGCUUCGUAGGUUUCAUCAUGAAGGGUAUUAUCCAUCUCAGCUUCUAGGAUUCUAUCUAGGAUCACUCUUGCUUCAUCAGCAGGGAUGCGAAAGAAAGAACCUCUAGACAUUGUGUGCAGCAUUUGUUUGUGAUUUUUCUGAAGACCUCGAAAAAAGUGAAAUAAAAGAACAGGGUCUUCAAGAUUAAGGUUUGGACCAGAUUCUAAAAGAUCAGAAAAACGUUUCCAGGAUUUUCCCAAAGUUUCAUUAUCUUUUUGUUUAAAAGAUAGGACUUCGAGUCUAAGGUCGGCUAUACGGUCAAGGGAAUAGAAAUCUAGACAAAAGUUGGCUCGUAAAACUCCCCAUUCACCUUGUUGUUGACUUACCUUCUGAUUGUACCAUUGUCUAGCUUCUCCCCUUAGAGAAAAAGGAAAAAGCUUCCAACGUAAAGUUUUAUCAGAAAUGCCUUCAAUGCGAAGACAAUCACAUGUUUGCUCAAAAUCUCUAAUAUGAAGGUAAGGGUUUUCGUCUUCCUUUCCCGAAAAAGAUAAGUUUUGAAUCAUGGCAAUCAACCUAGAACUUAACUUAUACUGGGGUGUUUGCAUAGGCUGUGAUGAUUCCCAUGGUAAAAGGUUAGUUGCUAAAGGGAUUGCAGACUCAUGGAUCGAUUUAGAAUUUUGGUUUUCCAUAAGGUAAGAGUAAAGAAAAAUAAAUAAAGAAUAUAAAAGAUAAGAAAAGAUAAAAGUAUAGAUACAAGCUAAUAGCAAGACACAUGUUAUCUCAGCAACCAUCUUUCUCCCCGGCAACGGCGCUAGAAAUGCUUGUUGAUAUUUGGGAACGCAAUAAGGAAUUGAUCCGCAAGCGCACGGAUAUCGGUGAGCACUUCACCCGGGAGGUUAUCCAGAGUAUCGUAUUUAUUUUUUUACCACUAGGAGAAAGAGUGCAUCUGACUAACUGGUCUAUUACUACUAUCCUUUAGGCACAAAGAAUGUCUUUCGAUGUGAGUGAUAAAUAGAGAAGACUGCAACCGUAGUCUCCUUCUAACCUUGGUAAGGAUGAUCUACUGCUCUAAUGGGGAGGCUAACAGAAUCUAGACACCACAAAGGAUGUUCAACCCGCACCUAUAAACCCUAUCCUUCCUACUAACGAGAUGUGAUCUACAAAGGUAGCUCGGAAAUGUCACGUUCCUCACUACUACCACGGUCCAGCUAGUCAGGGAAUAUCUAUGAGUACCCCAGCCUAAACACCACGUUUACGCCAGCAAUGAUUACUCUAAACUCUACGCGAAGAGAUUAAAGUAAACUCACAAACCAUAAGAACAAUAAAACAAGAACUUACUAGAAUUUAGAAGUUGAAUUACUGAAGAAUCCUAGGAGCAAGCUUCGGGUUAGGAGAACUUGAUCCCGCAGGUACAAGCUUGGAGUAGACACCGACAGGCCGGGCUUCCUCCACUCUACACCUCCACUCUAUCUCUCUCAAUCUAGUAGAAACUAGAAGAUCUAUUUCUACCUUACAUUGAUUGCUAAGCCUAAAAAGAAAUAUUAAUUAGAGAAGAGGUUUUCCUUCGAGGGCACCCCUCAGUCUCUAUGAUAAUUUCUUCAUGUCUUCUCCAGGGGCCAGGGGCCUUGCUUAUAUAGUCCUCCCCUUCUAUGCGUUUUUGGGUUGAUAGGCGAGGUGGUACUAUGUUUUUCUUGAUCCAAUAGGUCGGUGGAAUAUCCCGAGCGAAGGAGUCCUGAUUUGGCUCCAGCAGGGGGGCGGGCGCCCAGGCUACCAGGGCGGGCGCCCUGGGCCUGGCCCAGUUUGGCCUCCGCUUCGGUCUCGUGGCUUCUGGAGUCUUCUAGAUAAUGUAAAAUUGCGCGGNNNNNNNNNNNNNNNNNNNNNNNNNNNNNNNNNNNNNNNNNNNNNNNNNNNNNNNNNNNNNNNNNNNNNNNNNNNNNNNNNNNNNNNNNNNNNNNNNNNNAAUAUAGGAGUAUUAGUUGACAGAUCUUAAGUACCAAUUUUAAUUAUCAAAUAAACAAGAGAAAGGACCAAUAUGCAACCAACACCUAGAAUUAGGGUUUGAUCUGACAGAAUUCCCGAGUUUUGUUGUUUAUCUAUUUCUGCAGGGGGUUAUCAGGAAAUAAGGAAGAAGGGACCACAUGUCGGGAUUACAUAGAGAUAUCAACGCACCGCGUAAUUUUACAUCAUCUAGAAGACUCCAGAAGCCACGAGACCGAAGCGGAGGCGAAGCUGGGCCAGGCCCAGGGCGCCCGCCCUGGAAGCCUGGGCGCCCGCCCCCCUGCUGGAGCCAAAUCAGGACUCUUUCGUUCGGGAUAUUCCACCGACCUAUUGGAUCAAGAAAAACAUAGUACCACCUCGGCUAUCGACCAAAAAACGCAUAGAAGGGGAGGACUAUAUAAGCAAGGCCCCCCUGGCCCCUGGAGAGGACAUGAAGAAAUUAUCAUAGAGACUGAUGGGUGCCCUCGAAGGAAAACCUCUUCUCUAAUUAAUAUUUCUUUUUAGGCUUAGCAAUCAAUGUAAGGUAGAAAUAGAUCUUCUAGUUUCUACUAGAUUGAGAGAGAUAGAGUGGAGGUGUAGAGUGGAGGAAGCCCGGCCUGUCGGUGUCUACUCCAAGCUUGUACCUGCGGGAUCAAGUUCUCCUAACCCGAAGCUUGCUCCUAGGAUUCUUCAGUAAUUCGACUUCUAAAUUCUAGUAAGUUCUUGUUUUAUUGUUCUUAUGGUUUAUGAGUUUACUUUAAUCUCUUCGCGUAGAGUUUAGAGUAAUCAUUGCUGGCGUAAACGUGGUGUUUAGGCUGGGGUACUCAUAGAUAUUCCCUGACUAGCUGGACCGUGGUAGUAGUGAGGAACGUGACAAUUCCGAGCUACCUUUGUAGAUCACAUCUCGUUAGGAGGAAGGAUAGGGUUUAUAGGUGCGGGUCGAACAUCCUUUGUGGUGUCUAGAUUCUGUUAGCCUCCCCAUUAGAACAGUAGAUCAUCCUUACCAAGGUUAGAAGGAGACUACGGUUGCAGUCUUCUCUAUUUAUCACUCACAUCGAAAGACAUUCUUUGUGCCUAAAGGUUAGUAGUAAUAGACCGGUUAGUCAGAUGCACUCUUUCUCCUAGUGGUAAAAAAAAUAAAUACGAUACUCUGGAUAAUUUCCCGGGUGAAGUGCUCACCGAUAUCCGUGCGCUUGCGGAUCAAUUCCUUAUUGCGUUCCCAAAUAUCAACAGCCCACAUAAGAUGGUGGUAUUUGUCCCUCUUUGAAGGUUCUAGCCACAACAUUGAAAAUUGUAUUGGACAGCACACUGGAUCGAUUGAUUAAAGCAUGAUUAAUAGCAUUGUCUACCAUAUCUUGCAAUUUACCAGGAUUAGCUUCAAAAGUGAUUUGUCGAGGCAUCGGCAAUGCUUCCUUUUGGGUCACCUCGCCGCUCCUGUUGACACUGAAGGAUUUCAAACAUAGCUGCUGUUGACGGUUCUUAAGUAUCAAUUUUAAUUAUCAAAUAAACAAGAGAAAGGACCAAUAUGCAAACAACACCUAGAAUUAGGGUUUGAUCUGACAGAAUUCCACGAGUUUUGUUGUUUAUCUGUUUCUGCAGGGGGUUAUCAGGAAAUAAGGAAGAAAGGCCCACAUGUCAGGAUUACAUAGAGAUAUCAACGCACCGCGCAAUUUUACAUCAUCUAGAAGACUCCAGAAGCCACGAGACCGAAGCGGAGGCAAAACUAGGCCAGGCCCAGGGCGCCCGCCCCCCUGCUGGAGCCAAAUCAUGACUCUUUCGAUCGGGAUAUUCCACCGACCUAUUGGAUCAAGAAAAACAUAGUACCACCUCGGCUAUCGACCAAAAAACGCAUAGAAGGGGAGGACUAUAUAAGCAAGGCCCCCCUGGCCCCUGGAGAGGACAUGAAGAAAUUAUCAUAGAGACUGAUGGGUGCCCUCGAAGGAAAACCUCUUCUCUAAUUAAUAUUUCUUUUUAGGCUUAGCAAUCAAUGUAAGGUAGAAAUAGAUCUUCUAGUUUCUACUAGAUUGAGAGAGAUAGAGUGGAGGUGUAGAGUGGAGGAAGCCCGGCCUGUCGGUGUCUACUCCAAGCUUGUACCUGCGGAAUCAAGUUCUCCUAACCCGAAGCUUGCUCCUAGGAUUCUUCAGUAAUUCGACUUCUAAAUUCUAGUAAGUUCUUGUUUUAUUGUUCUUAUGGUUUAUGAGUUUACUUUAAUCUCUUCGCGUAGAGUUUAGAGUAAUCAUUGCUGGCCUGACUAGCUGGACCGUGGUAGUAGCUAGGAACGUGACAAUUCCGAGUUACCUUUGUAGAUCACAUCUCGUUAGCAGGAAGGAUAGGGUUUAUAGGUGCGGGUUGAACAUCCUUUGUGGUGUCUAGAUUCCGUUAGCCUCCCCAUUAGAACAAUAGAUCAUCCUUACCAAGGUUAGAAGGAGACUGCUGUUGCAGUCUUCUCUAUUUAUCACUCACAUCGAAAGACAUUCUUUGUGCCUAAAGGUUAGUAGUAAUAGACCGGUUAGUCAGAUGCACUCUUUCUCCUAGUGGUAAAAAAAUAAAUACGAUACUCUGGAUAAUUUCCCGGGUGAAGUGCUCACCGAUAUCCGUGCGCUUGCGGAUCAAUUCCUUAUUGCGUUCCCAAUUAUCAACAAGCAUUUCUGGCGCCGUUGCCGGGGAGAAAGACGGUUGCUGAGAUAACCUGUGUCUUGCUAUUAGGUUGUAUCUAUACUUUUAUCUUUUCUUAUCUUUUAUAUUCUUUAUUUAUUUUCUUUAUUCUUACCUUAUGGAAAACCAAAAUUCUAAAUCGAUCCAUGAGUCUGCAAUCCCUGUAGCAACUGACCUUUUACCAUGGGAAUCAUCACAGCCUAUCCAAACACCCCAGUAUAAGUUAAGUUCUAGGUUGAUUGCCAUGAUUCAAAACCUAUCUUUUUCGGGAAAGGAAGACGAAAACCCUUACCUUCAUAUUAGAGAUUUUGAGCAAACAUGUGAUUGUCUUCGCAUUGAAGGCAUUUCUGAUAAGACUUUACGUUGGAAGCUUUUUCCUUUUUCUCUAAGGGGAGAAGCUAGACAAUUGUACAGUCAGAAGGUAAGUCAACAACAAGGUGAAUGGGGAGUUUUACAAGCCAACUUUUGUCUAGAUUUCUAUUCCCUUGACCGUAUAGCCGACCUUAGACUCGAAGUCCUAUCUUUUAAACAAAAAGAUAAUGAAACAUUGGGAAAAUCCUGGAAACGUUUUUCUGAUCUUUUAGAAUCUGGUCCAAACCUUAAUCUUGAAGACCCUGUUCUUUUAUUUCACUUUUUUCGAGGUCUUCAGAAAAAUCACAAACAAAUGCUGCACACAAUGUCUAGAGGUUCUUUCUUUCGCAUCCCUGCUGAUGAAGCAAGAGUGAUCCUAGAUAGAAUCCUAGAAGCUGAGAUGGAUAAUACCCUUCAUGAUGAAACCUACGAAGCCGAAGUAGACACUCUGCCAAAUUCUUCAUCUACUUUAGCUAUCCCAAGUUCUGAGCCUCAAGAGGAAGAAAUUCCACCACCGGACUUCAUGCUGGAUAUAGAAUCCGAUCUUUUUGCCGAUUUUGGAAAUAUUUCAAACUACCAUUCUAUUGACAAACCCCAAAACGGCCAGUUUAGCAUUUAUUUACCAAGUGAAUAUCAAUUGAGAGAGCUUAUCUCAGUAAUGAGUAGCGAAUGGUUGGAGGAAUCAGAGCUUUCCUCUGAUGUGAUCCGUUUGGACACACCCUCUAUAACUAUACGCUGUGCUUAUAAUUCUGAUCGAUUUAAUGCUCUUUAUAAUCCUGUUGUGGGGAUCAACAUUAUGUCUGAAUCCUUUGCACUUAAACUAUUUAAAAAUCUUAUCUUAACCCCCACAGCAAAGGUCAUAAAGGAAUCUUCGGGACGAUUAGUCCCCAGUCUUGGAAUUAUUAAUGUCCUACCUCUUACGGUAGAAGGCUCCAUGGUUCAUUUGAACUUCUAUAUCUUUGAUACAUGGGACUUCGACCUAUUGAUAGGACAACCUUUUAGAAGACUCCUUUAUGAAGGUCAUACUGGAAAGCUACACAUUUCUUUUGGAAAAACUUUUCAAUUCCCAAUGAUAAUUUCACACUCCUUAAAUAAUAAGGCCGAGUCAUAUCUUUUGCCUGAUCCUAUGGAGGAAGUAAAGGCUGCAUCUCUAGAGCUUUUAGAUGAACUAGACUUAGAAGACGAAACUCCUUUCUUCACAGAAGAAGAAGACGAACCUUCUGAGCCUGAACCCUUAGAUGAGCUUGCAGAAACACCUAGACACCCCAUAGAGCUUAAAACUUUACCACCCGGUCUUACCUAUGCUUUCCUAAACAAUAAUCCAGAGUUCCCUGUGAUCAUUAGCGAUAAACUCACUCAGGAUCAAACUCUGCGAUUAAUGACCAUUCUUGAGAAACAUCACUCAGUUUUCGGCUACUCACUUCAAGAUCUUACAGGAAUCAGUCCUAUGAUUUGUACCCAUCGUAUUCCAACAGAUCCUUCUGUUACACCCUCUCGAGAACCCCAACGUAGACUUAACAACACUAUGAGAGAGGUAGUUAAAAAGGAAGUUAUUAAGUUGCUGCAUGCAGGGAUUAUAUAUCCUGUGCCGCACAGUGAGUGGGUGAGCCCAGUCCAAGUUGUGCCCAAAAAGGGAGGCAUGACAGUUAUUAUGAAUGAAAAGAAUGAGCUAAUUCCGCAACGCACCGUCACCGGAUGGCGGAUGUGCAUAGACUAUAGAAAACUAAACAAAGCCACGAGAACAGAUCACUUUCCCUUACCUUUUAUAGAUGAGAUGCUAGAGCGGUUAGCAAACCAUUCAUUCUUUUGUUUCUUAGAUGGAUAUUCAGGGUAUCAUCAAAUCCCGAUCCAUCCCAAUGAUCAAAGCAAAACCACUUUUACAUGCCCUUAUGGAACUUAUGCUUACCGUAGAAUGUCUUUUGGGUUAUGUAAUGCACCAGCUUCUUUUCAAAGAUGCAUGAUGUCUAUAUUUUCUGAUAUGAUUGAAGAGAUUAUGGAAGUUUUCAUGGAUGAUUUCUCUGUUUAUGGAAAAACUUUUGAUAGUUGUCUUGAAAACUUAGACAAGGUUUUGCAAAGAUGUGAAGAAAAGCACUUAAUCCUUAAUUGGGAAAAAUGUCAUUUUAUGGUUAGGGAAGGAAUAGUGCUGGGACACUUAGUGUCUGAAAGAGGAAUUGAGGUAGACAAAGCUAAAAUUGAAGUAAUUGAACAACUACCUCCACCUGUGAAUAUAAAAGGAAUUCGAAGCUUUCUUGGCCAUGCUGGUUUUUAUCGUAGAUUCAUAAAGGAUUUUUCAUUCAUUGCUAGACCACUUACUCUUUUGCUAGCCAAGGAUGCUCCUUUCGAAUUUGAUGAUGCAUGUCUAACAUCUUUCAAUUUAUUAAGGAAAGCACUCAUCUCUGGACCAAUCAUUCAACCCGCUGAUUGGUCGUUGCCUUUUGAAAUUAUGUGUGAUGCUAGUGAUUAUGUUGUGGGGGCAGUAUUGGGACAAACUAAAGAUAAGAAGCAUCAUGCAAUUGCUUAUGCCAGUAAAACUUUGACAGGAGCUCAACUCAAUUAUGCAACCACUGAAAAAGAGCUUCUGGCUGUUGUCUUUGCCAUUGAUAAAUUUAGAUCUUAUUUAGUUGGAGCUUAAAUAAUUGUUUACACUGAUCAUGCUGCACUAAAAUAUUUGCUCACUAAAAAAGACGCUAAACCUCGCCUGAUUAGAUGGAUUUUAUUACUCCAAGAAUUUGACUUAGAAAUAAAAGAUAAAAGGGGAGUAGAAAAUUCUGUUGCUGAUCACCUGUCUAGAAUGUAUUUUAAGAGUCCACAGGAAACCCCCAUCAAUGAUUCACUCCGAGACGACAUGCUCUACGGGAUUAACAGGUCUGACCCCUGGUAUGCAGAUAUUGUUAAUUUUAUGGUUUCAGGGUAUGUACCACCAGGAGCAAACAAGAAGAAGCUUAUUCAAGAAAGUCGUUCACAUAUAUGGGACGAGCCAUACCUCUUCCGAGUAUGCUCUGAUGGCUUACUCAGGAGAUGUGUGACCACUGAGGAAGGAUGGAAGAUCAUCGACAGAUGUCAUUCAUCACCAUAUGGAGGUCAUUAUGGAGCAUUCCGUACACAUUCAAAGAUCUGGCAGUGUGGAUUCUACUGGCCUACAAUGUAUGAAGACAUGAAGCAAUAUAUCAGGAGAUGUGGGCCAUGUCAAAGGCACGGAAACAUAAAUACAAGGGAUGCAAUGCCACUCACCAACAACCUUCAGAUUGAGCUCUUUGAUGUCUGGGGAAUAGACUACAUGGGUCCAUUUCCUCCAUCAAAGAAGUGUGAGUACAUUUUGGUGGCGGUUGACUAUGUCUCCAAGUGGGUAGAAGCAUUACCUUGCAAGCAUGCCGACAACGACAGUUCAAAGAGGAUGUUUGAAGAAAUUAUAUUUCCAAGAUUUGGAGUUCCCAGAGUAGUGAUAAGUGAUGGAGGAGCACACUUCAUCGACAAACGCUUCAAGCAAUGUCUAUCAAGACAUGGAAUCCAUCGCAACAUCGCUACCCCGUAUCAUCCUCAGACAAGUGGCCAAGCAGACUUCCAACAAACAAAUCAAGAAUAUUCUUCAGAAGAUAGUAAAUGAAAUGGGAACGGCAUGGAAAGACAAGUUACCCGAUGCACUCUGGGCAUACCGGACAGCAUACAAGACCCCAAUUGGAAUGUCUCGAUACCAAUUGGUGUAUGGGAAGACUUGCCAUCUACCUGUUGAACUAGAGUUCAAAGCACACUGGGCCAUAAAGAGAUGGAAUAUGGACCUAGAUGUUGCUGGAGAUUAUAGAAGAAUGCAACUAUCAGAAUUGGAAGAAUGGCGAGAGAAGGCAUAUCACAAUUCAAAAAUCUACAAAGAAAGAGUCAAGAGGUGGCAUGACAAGAGAAUCAAGAAGAAGGAAUUCACACCCGGAGAUAAGGUAUUACUUUUUAAUUCCAGGGUAAAGCUUUUCGGGCAUGGAAAACUCCAGAGCAAAUGGGAAGGACCAUUCAAGGUAAUCAAUUCAUCAUCCCACGGAGCUAUCACACUUCAAAAUAGCGAAGGUACGUUAUUCAAGGUAAAUGGUCAACGUCUUAAAUUAUUUUUAGAGCCCAAUGAGGAAUUUGAAGAAAUAGACGUAGUCCAUUUUUACCUUCCCAUAGAAAAUUAGAGCCCGACACUUUUGGUCUGAUGGUUUUGGGGCAUAUAUAUAUUUUUCUAAAUAAUUUCGCAUCUAGAAACGCGCUCGGAAAAAUGGGCCCACAGAGGGGCCAGAGAGAGGGCGGGCGCCCAGGUCAAGUGGGCGGGCGCCCAGCCCCUGUUCCCCCUCGGUCCCGACUUUCUCUGUUAUGGAAAAUGCACUUAGGGUGAUCCGAAUAAUCCCUCGGAUGGAAAGUUUCGCACGCACAUCGACGGGAGCAACCCGAACAACCCAUAGAGGCAUCCUUUUGACCCCUAUAUAAACAGACCCCUGACCUCAGUUUUCAAACACCAAGCCACCAAGCUUUCUCUCCUUCAAUUAGAGCUUAAUUAGCUCUACUUCAAUUAAAAUUUUAUUAGUUCCUUGUUGCUCCAAUGGCCGACAAGUACCACAACGAUUGGGAAGUCGUCCCCUUCAACCUCAACAUGCAGCCAGUGGAAGACCCCGAUGCCCGUGCUCUCGUCCCGGCCAACACAGAGCGUCAGCUAGAAGCCAUGCCAUUACGCCAACGCAGCUCCGCCCAAUCUUACCAUGCUCAACCAGUUCUCACCGCACCGCCAACCCCUACUCCUCAAAGGACUAUCAUCCAAGACGAAUACCACUAUCAUGGUGCCAAUCGGCACAAGGAUCCUUCCACCUAGACCCAAUGAGAGGGUCGUUGGAGUCAAGACCAACCGAAGCGGUGAGAUCAGCAGCGUACGCUACACUUCAAAGGAGGAAAGGCCUUACUUUGAAGGGAUUAGAGCAGCCAAAGUCCGUUUCAUCCCUCCAAAGGCAGCCCCGAUGCAUGCUCUCAAUGCUUUUGGGACACCUCCCAAGCGUCGCAAGACUAUAAUGGAUAUUGAUGAGGAAGUUCGCAGGCUAGAUAGAGUUAUCAUAGACCUCCAGUCCUCGAUUAAUUCCUUCACUAGGCAACUCUCUAACCACAACACCAUUAUACUAGGCCUUAGGCAGGAUCUUGCCAGUGCCAACAAGAAGAUCAAGGAAUUAGAGCGCCGUUAAGUUAUCUAGAUUAGACUUUGAGGCAAUGCAUUUUAGUCAUCUAUCUUUAAAUUCGGUUUAGGUUUACUAUUAUCAUCAGUUUACUACUAUUAUCAGUUUGCUACUAGUCUUUUGUAAUAAAUGCCUCAAGAUCAAUAAAGUGUAUUACUAUUAUUAUUAUGUCUUGUGUGUCUCUACUUUACUUUUGUGCAAGAAAGCAGAAAACAAGUAUGGGGGAGAUCCCUCAACAUGCCAAACACACUCCGACUACACCACUCCACGAUUCAGGUACACACUCUGUACACUUUACUUUACACAUAUAUAUAUUUUGGAUUAUGCAGAUUAUUGUUUCCGACAUGAUAAAAUAAAAAGAUUAAAAUAUUUCUAAUCAUGAUUAAUCUCAAUCUAUGAUAUUUCCUGAAAACUUGCAAUUAUUAUAAAAUCAUUUUAAAACUCUGUGUUACUUAAGUCAAUAUGGAAUAUGUGAUGGUAGAGUAUGAGUUUCUUAUUCUUGAUAUCAUUGUUGCUUGGAGAAUUUAUUUCAAAAUAUUCAAAAUUCUAGCUACCAUCCUCAGUGUUUUAUAUGCCUGAUAAAAAUAAAAAUAUUAAUGAUGAUUAUAAAGCUAUCUACUCUGUAUUGAGUUUGUUCAAAAUGAGUUAGACCCUUGUUGAGAGAUUUAUCAUGCUCCUAAGAUCAAGACAUUAUUUCAGAAAGAUUCACUCUUCCGAAGUAUUAUUGCAUUAGAGGCAUGGGCUAUGCAAAAAUAAAAAUAUUUCGAGGAAAUAAAAAGGAGCAAGUGCUCGACAACCUCGCAGAAAAAAUGGACAAGUGUCCGGCAGUAGAAUUAGGGGUACCUCGGUAUCCACUUAAAAAAAAUGAAAUGAAAAUGAUAGCCCGUGGUCCCUCUAAUAAGCAAUAUGCCAGUAAGAGUUGACAAAAGUUUUUAAUUUCCAAAGUCUUUGAUCUAAGAGUAUGACAUUCCCCUCCUCGGAUCCCGUUUUGAUCAGGCAAUAAAUGCAAAGUAAGAAUGCUUGACAAUUUUUGCAAAAUAAAACAGCCUCAGUGAGAUAUAUAUAUAAAAGAUAAUGAGUGAUCUGAGAGAACCUAUGAGGAUAAAAAGGUAUGCUAACUUUCUUUCAAAAAUAUACAAAAGCUCCAAGUGACAGGAUUGAGAAGAAAGGAUCUUUACUCUUAACCAUAAACAUCCCUGACUAUGGUACACAGUGGAAUUUUAACACCCUGCAAUUAUAUAAAGAGAAUGUUUUAAAUGUUUUACCCCAGAUAUUUUUCUUAACCAUCCUUUUCUCGAGGACGAGUAAAAGCCUAAGUAUGGGGGUAUUUGUUGACGGUUCUUAAGUAUCAAUUUUAAUUAUCAAAUAAACAAGAGAAAGGACCAAUAUGCAAACAACACCUAGAAUUAGGGUUUGAUCUGACAGAAUUCCACGAGUUUUGUUGUUUAUCUGUUUCUGCAGGGGGUUAUCAGGAAAUAAGGAAGAAAGGCCCACAUGUCGGGAUUACAUAGAGAUAUCAACGCACCGCGCAAUUUUACAUCAUCUAGAAGACUCCAGAAGCCACGAGACUGAAGCGGAGGCAAAACUGGGCCAGGCCCAGGGCGCCCGCCCUGGUAGCCUGGGCGCCCGCCCCCCUGCUGGAGCCAAAUCAGGACUCUUUCGCUCGGGAUAUUCCACCGACCUAUUGGAUCAAGAAAAACAUAGUACCACCUCGGCUAUCGACCCAAAAACGCAUAGAAGGGGAGGACUAUAUAAGCAAGGCCCCCCUGGCCCCUGGAGAGGACAUGAAGAAAUUAUCAUAGAGACUGAGGGGUGCCCUCGAAGGAAAACCUCUUCUCUAAUUAAUAUUUCUUUUUAGGCUUAGCAAUCAAUGUAAGGUAGAAAUAGAUUUUCUAGUUUCUACUAGAUUGAGAGAGAUAGAGUGGAGGUGUAGAGGGGAGGAAGCCCGGCCUGUCGGUGUCUACUCCAAGCUUGUACCUGCGGGAUCAAGUUCUCCUAACCUGAAGCUUGCUCCUAGGAUUCUUCAGUAAUUUGACUUCUAAAUUCUAGUAAGUUCUUGUUUUAUUGUUCUUAUGGUUUAUGAGUUUACUUUAAUCUCUUCGCGUAGAGUUUAGAGUAAUCAUUGCUGGCGUAAACGUGGUGUUUAGGCUGGGGUACUCAUAGAUAUUCCCUGAUUAGCUGGACCGUGGUAGUACCGAGGAACGUGACAAUUCCGAGUUACCUUUGUAGAUCACAUCUCGUUAGCAGGAAGGAUAGGGUUUAUAGGUGCGGGUUGAACAUCCUUUGUGGUGUCUAGAUUCCGUUAGCCUCCCCAUUAGAACAGUAGAUCAUCCUUACCAAGGUUAGAAGGAGACUACGGUUGCAGUCUUCUCUAUUUAUCACUCACAUCGAAAGACAUUCUUUGUGCCUAAAGGUUAGUAGUAAUAGACCGGUUAGUCAGAUGCACUCUUUCUCCUAGUGGUUAAAAAAUAAAUACGAUACUCUGGAUAAUUUCCCGGGUGAAGUGCUCACCGAUAUCCGUGCACUUGCGGAUCAAUUCCUUAUUGCGUUCCCAAUUAUCAACAGCUGCUUGUAUUCCUCCAUAGCUUUUGCCAUAGCUUGCUUCUGCUCAUCUCUGAGAUUGGCUUCAGUUACGGGGAUGAUGUUAUCCGUAUCGAAAUCAGUAUUCGAUAUGUUGAUCUUGACGAUGAAUCUGAAUCUGUCCCACCGGGCGUGCCAAAAGAUGUGUUGAUGCAAAAGUGGAUCUGCAAACACAAAAGGCCAAUACCCGAUUCAACGUUAAGGCAUGCCAGCCGAUUUGACCUUACAACCGACAAAGGUGAUAACUCGAAUACUUUGGUCACGACAACAGCGAUACGCCCGGAUGCCACGGCCAAGAGGUAUUCACACGGAACUUGAGAACUCGCCGAGGUUAACUUGAUGAAUUCCUAAGAACUCGUAAGGAAAAAGAAAAUAUGCAAGUUGACGAAGUUGUCGAAAAAGUAGAUGCUAGAAUAGAUGUAAAACUUGUGUUUGAUUGAUUGUGAUUGUCUCCUUACAUCUCUACUAGGUCUAUAUUUAUACCCUGUCCCAAAGAGCUACAACCAGGUACGACUAGAAUUCUAUUUCCAAACUAAACAGAAUCGGUAUACAAAACAAACUCUAAUAACUAUGGAAAUCAUUAGUUUAUCCAUCCUAGGUAAUCGGCACGCUACCACUAUUUCCUCGACAAUUCCUACACCCUUCUCCAUCAUCGGCACCUCAUCUUCCAUCGGCAUCGGCAACUGUUAACAUCAGCCAUCAGUAUAGAUCAAUCAUUAUUCCUGGACUCGGUCAUAUUGUGGCGCUCUAUCAUUGGCAUCAUAACCCAUCGGUAACUGCUCUAUCAACCAGUCAUUACUUUUUCACCUGCCGAUCCAAGUUCCACUAUCUGUCCAGAUACGUGUCAAAAACGGUAUCAACAAGAAUACACAAUGAGUUUGAAACAACCAUCAAGAAAGUGAGAAGUGACAAUGGAAGUGAAUUCAAGAUACAAGAGUUGAUGAGCUUUGUGAUAAUUUGGGAGGAUGUUACAUAUGAGCAUGGAGCAAAUGAAGUGGCUAUGAAAUAAAUUCCAUGCUCAUUAAUGUUUGGAAUGAAAUCCAUGUGGUAUGGUGAAAAUGGUAAGGUGAGUGUGAUAAAAAAGGAAAAGAAAAAGGAUACACGGACGACUUGGUUCGAAACUACCACAGCUACCGUUCCCCGGCAACGGCGCCAGAAAGCUUGUUGGGUAUUUUAAAUGCAAAAAGAAAAAUCCGCAAGCACACGGAUACCGAUGUAGCCUUCACCCGGGAGUAUUCAGAGUAUCGAUUUUCCACUGGGAACGUGAGUGUACUAAUUAAGAUUCAAGAUCGCCCAAGGAUAACUAUAUUAUUAUUUUUGGUGGGAAGAGAGGAAGUUUCCUGAGAGUUCUCUAGUUGAUCUAAGAAUCAAGAAUUACUUCAAGAUUAUCUAUUUUGGGACAUCAGAACACUAACCACAAAAAGAGAUGAGAAGGGGGCUAGGAAGCUCUGACUACAGUCCUACAAACACCGAUCCGAACGAGGUGGAAUACGUCGACCGUUAGGGCUGUCACUAUCCUAGGGCUACCACAACAAUCCGCAGGAUUGGGUCCAAUUCCAGGUAAUUACAAGACUAAACACCACGUCUAAUCUAUUAAUUACUACUCUAGCAUUAUAAAGACUAGAGCACUUGAUGCAAGUGGGAAUCCAAUAUAUAACUUGAAUGUAAAUAAAAGUAAUUAAAGAACUCAGGAAUUAUGAAUUGAAGAACUUGGAGAACGAUGAAGAACGAACCAGUUGCAGCAAAAGUAUAAUGUUGAGAAAGAUCCGACAGAUCCGGCUCCUCCUCCGCUCUCCUCUUCUCUCUCCCGAUUUUCUAGAUUACAACUAGAACGAACUAGAACUAGAACUAGAUGAACUAGAACUAGAACUAGAUGAACUACAGGUAGAACUAGCUGAACUAGAGGGAUCCUCUCUACUUGGAUGAAGAAUUGAAACCCUAACUUUGAUUCUGUAGAAGAGGUAUGAUCUCCAAGGGCCAGGGGGCCUUGCUUAUAUAGUCUUUUCAGAUGAAACUGGGCCGUCGUAUCAAACCGACAUUAAUCGCAUGGUUUUCCUUGAUCCUUUAGGUCGGUGGAGCAUAAUCCGCGAAACGGGUCCUGAUUGGACUCUGGAAGUGGGCGGGCGCCCAGGAGAGUAGGGCGGGCGACCUGUCCCUGAGCCCUCUCGGCUUCCAGUUCGUUCCCGUGGCUUCUGGAGUCUUCUAGAUGAUAGAAAAUUGCGCGUCACAUUAAUAUCUCUAUGUAAACCCAACGUGUGGGCCUUUCCUCCGUAUUUCCUGAUAACCCCCUGCAGAAAUAGACAAACACCAAAACUCGUGGAAUUCUGUCAGAUAAAACCCUAAGUCUGGGUGUUGGUUGCAUUUGGAUCAUUAUCUAUGAUUAGUUGAUGGUUAAAUGUGAGCAUUAAGGACCAUCAACAAGCUCCCCCAAGCUUAACUUUUGCUCGUCCCUGAGCAAAGAUGGACUCAAGAGUUUCUGUAGUGGUUUCAUGCCUUAAAGGUACACAUGCGUUCAAACAAGAUCUCAUCUUUGGGUUAGGGUAAACUGUUAAGAUUUAAACUUACUCAUUUUACCUUCCACCAUGGGGCUUGCAACCGUCACCUGUGUCUUGAGCAGUUAAAAGAUAGAACGGUCUAGUCAAGCGCCAUGUCUCUUGUUCUUCGAUUAACUAUAGCUCUGGAGUUUUUUUGCAGAUUUUCAAAUAAAACACAGAGAUUCCUUGUAUGACUUUCUGUAGUCUCUAUUUUGUGGUAUUUCUGGAUCCUUACCAAGGCAGCAAUGGUGUAUGCCUUCUCUCAAAGUAUGUGAUAUUUUUGGUAUGAGGCAUAGUGGCAUUGCCUUCUCUCUCACCCUACUCUAAUAAGGUUUUGAUAUCUGGAGCUCAAAGGUGGGAGAUAGCCAAUACAUACUUACAAGACAUUCAUUGCAUAGUCAAACCAUGGAUCCAGAAGAACAAGUCAAUAAGUCAUAUCAAGAUGUGCAUGUGUGGCGAAUGAAUGGUGUAUGGUGAUGAUGGUGAUAACAAUGGUGAAAGUCUAAUUCUACUUAUGCUCUUUUGAGGGGAUACAUACCUUUCUUGCUCUUUUGAAACUUUUUGAGGAGAAGGAGAUGCUCUAUAUUUUCUUUUUCUUUCCUCUCAGGUGGGUAUCUUGUACCCCUAAUUUUAUUAUCGGACACUUGUCCAUUUUUACCUCUCGUCUCACUUUUUAUUUUCUUUCGAGGUUCCGGGCACUUGCCCCUUUUUAUUUCCUCGUAUUCACUUUUUUUUUCAGAACACUCAUCCUCCUAGAAUAAUGUAGCAAGUGGUAAUAACCAAAAUAUCUCGAGCAUUUAUUUCACAGAGAAAACAGAAAUGUUUUUGGCUAUUCUCUCCCGGAUUAGGAGUAGAAUAUUUUUAGGUGAUUCUGGAGAUGGAAAUGGGUGGAUAUAUGUGGAUGCGUACUUCCGGAGUAGAAGCAGCAUGUGUGAGUGAACGUGCAAGUGAAUCUUGACUUAACCACAUGACAAGCUCCUAAGGGUUUACACAGCUUGACCACACUCAAUGCUCAUAAGCAGUAAAAAGUAAAUGUGUGGCUCAAAGUUUAGCAAGCAUGUAUAUAUGACUGUGGUAGGAAUUUAAACUCUCAUCAUACAGAAACUCAUCAUGUGAUAUUUUAAAGAUUUUCAAAGAUAAAAUUCUCCAGAAUUCUAGCAUCUCUAAGAACAGAUAAACAGUAGCUCAACCUUCCCAUAUCGUAUCCGUUAACGACUUAGACUUUAGAUCAAGUACUCUCCCCACAGGUUCAGGUUUAGAGCAAAUCUUAAUUAAUACCAGUCAUGCCUAAACUUGAGAGAGAUUUCAAUUCUGAGAACUAGUCAUGGCAGAGCAACUAUUCAUCAUUUCCAUGUGAGAGCUUAUCAUGAGGGUUCAUAGCAAACUUUAUUUAUUUAUUUAUUUAGCAAACUAAGCAAAGAUAUAUAUAAGCACAAAAUCUUUAUUUGGGUUUUUAUGAUUAUGCAUCUUUUUAUUAUUUGAGUAAAAUAUAAACGUGAGUAGAACACUUAGCUGGAUAAAUGGGAGUGCUCUCCCCCAAGCUGGAUUUUGACGUAACUUCUCCUGAUGUAGCUAGCAGGUGGCGGAGGUGUAUUUGAAUGUCGGCAGUACUCUGACAGGGAUUAGGAUGUCCUCCGUCUGCUAGUCUUCUUUGAUCCUUGAAUUCUGUGGAGCUCAAAUAGACAAUUAAGCUUUGUGGAACUAGUUAAGUGUUAGCAUAAAUAUUUAGCCUUUAUCAUGUUGAGCCUCCUCAAUAAAUGUUACACUCUUUAGUAGGAUCAUAAAUUUAUUU